UGGGUAUAUGACUAAAUAUCUCUUAUUUUUUAAACCUUUAAUUAUUAAUUCAAGCAUUUUCUAUUUCCUAAAAUAAUUUUAUUUGAUAAAAGUUCAGUAGUGGAAGUGAAGGUGGUGGUGAAAGAGAUAAAGGUGAAGGUGGCAGUGAUAGUGGAAGUGGUUGUGGGUGGUGAUGAAGCUAGAGGCGGUGGUUGUGGUAGUGAUGGUGGUGGAGAUGGUGGUUGUAGAGGUGAAAGUGGUAGCGGUGGCGGCGUGGUGGUGUAGGUGGAGGUGGAGGUGGAGGUGGUAGAGUUGCAUGUGGAGGUGGAUGUAGUGUCACUUAAAAACAAUUAUGAUGGUAUUUUGGGAAUUAAAAUAAUUCAUUAAAGACUUAUCUCUGCUUCUUUUGAAAGUAGCUUUGAAAAGCAACCAAGAGCUUACUUUUAAAAGCUGCUGUCAAAAGGCCACUACUUUAAAAAUAAUCGAGAUAUUUUAUUUUCACCAAACACCUUAAAUUGCUUAACUUUAAAGUGAAGCAGGUUUUUGGCAAUUAAAAGCAAUCCUAAACGAGGCCUUACACUUUCUUCUUUUUUUCUUUUUUUCUUUUUGUCAAAUGGUAAAAUAGGUGGGUUACGCGAGUUUAGGUUUUUGGAUUAAAUCCUUAGAAGUCAUUUUACAAAGGGAUAAAUUUGUCUUUAAAUUUUUUAAGAUUAGAUGGGUAAGAAAAUAUGACAGGUAAGUGAAAAUAGCAACACUCUUCUAAAAUUCUUAUAACUUUUUUUGUUUGUUUUAGAAUUUCGUAAGUGUCAAAAUCUUAUUUGCUUUGAGGAGAGUCAAACUUUACUCUUAUUUUUCUCUUGACUUAUCAUGAAAGUAAAUACUCUUUCCCCCACAAGAAUUAAUAUUAUAUAUGCCUAAAAAAUGUUUAGGUUCGUGACGAGCCUGUAAACUGAGGACAAAAGCUUUAUAGGGGAGAAUUGACAACAAAAAAAACUUUAGGGGAGAAUUGACCAAAAAAUAAAAACCUUUACAAAGGAAUAAAUUUGUCUUUAAAUUUUUUAAGAUUAGAUGGGUAAGGAAAUAUGACAGGUAAGUGGAAAUAGCAACAUUCUUCUAAAAUUCUUAUAACUUUUUUUUUUUUUGGUUUUUGAAUUUCGUAAGUGUCAAAAUCUUAUUUGCUUUGAGGAGAGUCAAACUUUACUCUUAUUUUUCUCUUGACUUAUCAUGAAAGUAAAUGCUCUUUCCCCCACAAGAAUUAUUAUAUAUGCCUAAAAAAUGUUUAGGUUCGUGACUAGCCUGUAAACUGAGGACAAAAGUUUUAUGAGGAGAAUUGACAACAAAAAUAACUUUAGGGGAGAAUUGACCAAAAAAUAAUAAUAAUAAUCUUUAGGAGUUGUUUGUUAUGCAUGACUGUCUUGGCAUGGACUAAGCUUAAAUACUGUCAUGGAUUGACUUGGCUUGGACUAAACUUAAUAAGGCUUGUCCAGCGUUUGGUAUAAUGCUGGACUAGGAUUGGGACUUGAAUAAAAAUAUGUUUAUUUAAUUAAUUAAAAAAAUUAAAAAACUAAUAAAAAUAAUUUUUUAUUUAACCCAAACCCACACUCACCCAAAACCAUCAACAAGCAGCCACUGGAUCUCUGCAAGGGAAGUGAGAGUUCCCCAAAAAUUAUUACCACUUUUUCUCUCCCUCUCUCUCAAUUUUGGUUCUUCCAUUCCAUGGCGAUUUCAGAUUCGCCGAGGCAUUACUGGCACUAGCACGAGCCCUCGCACGGACUCAUAUCCAUGGGAUUCGCUCGGCGAUUGGGUCCGAGCUCGACGACACUACAUUGUGUUCUGGAGUCGUUGUCGAUCAAGAACUCGGCUGAUUUGACGGAUAUGGGGAGUAGAAGGAUGAGCAUCCUCAAUUUUGAUUUCAAUAAGUGAAUGAUGAUGAUGAUGUUAAUGGUAAAGCCAGUGUGUUGAAUCGGAAUGGGGAUGAUGGUGAUUACAUGACUUGAAUUGAGUGGCUGAGUAUGAGCUAGCACAAAAUGCAAGGGAUUUUUUUUUUUAAAACUUCUCCUGAAAAUGCAUAGGAUUGUUCAAUCCUCUCUUUUUGCACGGGAUUAACUAACACCUUCUAAGGAGGUGUUUUUAGUGGGCCCCACAUUAAUAAUUCCUGCUUAGAAUUAGAAUUAGGUGAACUAAACGUGGGCCUAAUUUUAAUCUAAUCCAAUCCAAGCUUGAGAGGUGUACCGAACGAGGCCUUAGGGGAGAGUUCGUAUAUGGUGCAGGUUUCAUAGGUGAAAAUUGGUACUUAGGUGACGAGGGAUAAAUUUAAAAGAUAUUCAACCAAGAACGCAACAAACUUCACACACUUUAGACCUUGACCAAAUACUCUUAUGACUAGUCAACUGUUAUACAUGAAUUAUACCAAACAAUAAAAUACACAGAGCAUGCCAAGAUGUACCUGCAUGAAAUGACCCGCCCCGAAUUUCCCAAAACCAGAGGCGAAUCCUGUGGAAUUCUUGACAUCCCCCUGAUGUCGGGCUCACUUACUAAGGAUCGAGACUUUCUGCCGAAAUUUUGGCAGAGUCUCCCCUGUAAAUUGAACAUUUCCCAAAAUUACAACCUGCAUAAAACACAAUUUAGUAUUCCCAACGGGCAGCGUGCAUAAUAUAAUUUCAUGCUACCAAGCAUGCUAGCAAAUCAAUUCAUGCUUUAAACAAGGCAAACGAUAAAUUCAAAUAUAAAUUUAUGACUACUAAAUUUCAACAUACAACAUCUAACUUUUUCAAUUUCAACAUACGAGGUUUGAACCUCCUAACACAAUCACAUCUAUGUCCGCGGCUGCACCUAAUGACCUUAGGCUGCCUACGUAUCCUCACUGAGGGAUCAAGUCACACAUAGUUCUUCCAUAAAACCCAAUUCCACACAUAAGCAAUACCUUAUUUCAUUUCUCUGUAUUUCACAUAAUCUUCCCAUACGCCGGUACUACCAAUACCACGUAUGGGGCCUGUCAACACGCCGGAUAACCUACGCCACAUGCGACCAUACCAUACUAUCACAAUAUCUCCUCAUACGCCGGUACAACCAACGCCACGUAUGGGGUCUGUCUCAACGUCGGAUAACCUACGCCAAGCGAGACCUGCACAUCAUAUCACAUAUCUCCCCAUACGCCGAUACAACCAACGCCACGUAUGGGGUCUGUCGACACGCCGGAUAACCUACGCCACGUGCGACCUCAACAUAUUAUCACAAUAUCUCCCCAUACGCCGGUACAACCAACGCCACGUAUGGGGUCUGUCUCAACGCCGGAUAACCUACGCCACGCGAGACUUGCAUAUCAUAUCACAUAUCUCCCCAUAUGCCGGUACAACCAACGCCACGUAUGGGUUCUGUCGACACGCCGGAUAACCUACGCCACGUGCGACCUCAACAUAUUAUCACAUAAUCUCCCCAUAUGCCAAUACUACCAAUGCCACAUAUGGGGCCUGUCCGCACGCCGGAUAACCUACGCCACGUGGGACCUAACUUUCAUAGGGUGGUAUUUGUAGAGUAACUAAAAUCCUGGGAGGUGCCUAAGGUAGUGUGUAUAGCACUUCAAACUGACAUUCUAGACUUCUUUUUUACCUUUACAAACGUAUAUAAAUAUAUAAUUUACUUCUAAUAUUGUGUAAGCCUCAACAAUAGUGUAGCACCCGAUAAUCCCCCUAGAAAGGUGAGAUUACUCCGGGAGACUCACGGUCAACCAAGGGUUAAACUACCCUACCCCUGGUCAAACGGGCCUGCGGGGCCCAUGACCUCCCAAUUCCGAUCCGAAAGUUCCUAUGGGUUCUACAAGGUAUAGGACACUAGUCCUACAAGUUUGGUCCAGAUCGGACGGUCAGAUCGCUCACGAUCGCACAAUCUGACGAUUAAUAUAAAACAUAAACUUUAUAUUUAUAAAUCGGAACAUCCGGGGCUCCGAUUCACAAUCCGUGAAAUCUUACAUGAUCCUAGAAAUACCUAGAUUAACAUAUAUUAAAUUUAAGACCAUCCAACGGUCCUAACCUAUCGAACUCGGAUAACGCGCAAUAUGCGAUAUCCGUUCGAUAGCCAAACGACGUCCGAAUUGAGAUCCGCGAAAUCCUUCACACUCGUGACAACCUAAGGAUCUCAUCAAGACAUAGUGCGACUUCACUAUCCUCUCCCACGUGCCGCCACACGCGUCGGCAGCGUUGGGUGUCCAAAGCGAUUACGCAUCGCCGGAAAAUCUCAAAAUCACGGCUCCAAACUCCUACCCUAGGUAUACACCCUAUUUGGAGUCACUUUUGUUCUUGGACCUACCCCCAAAAACUGACCAGAAGUGGCCGGAAUCGCGAUCCCAAAAUCGGCCGAAUUUCAAUUCGAAAAUCGAAUUGCCUACACUAAGAAUCGAUCCAAUCCUACCCAACAGGCAGCUCGGGCAUGAAGAAGGGAUGAAUUUCCAUACCUUGAUCGCCAGAAAUGGCGGCUGGAGGAAGGAGAUCGGAGCCGGCGAAGUUCGAGCGAAAAUCGGGCGAAAAUCGCCUUUUUUCAGCGGCUGGAGCGGCGGCCAAUGUCGGGGGAGGGCCAGGUCGUGAUGCCGAGGCCGAGCCGGUCCUUUUGGCACCGGUCCCGUCCAAAGCCGCGGCCGGUGGCCGGAGAGACAGGAGAGAGAAAGAGACCGACGGGGAGAGAGAGAGAGAGCACGGGGGAGGGAGAGAGAGAGAGAGAGAGAAAAAAAAAUCUGAUUUUUAUAAAAAUCCCAUUUCGAAGUAAUUACGAUUGUGCCACUAGGUUUCUUUUGACCAUAUCUCUCUCGUUACAACUGCGAUUCGAGCCCACUACGUGUCUAUGAACUCGUCUCAGUACGACCUAUCCAAAAAUACUUGCCACUGCCCCAAACUCUCUCUGGAUAAGAAAAUGACCAAAAUGCCCUUAUCUCAAGGGUAAAUUUGUAAUUUCCCUUAAAUAAUUUAUAUAAGGGGUUUAAUUUGGAGUCGGGGUGUUACACUGCAAGCUUAGAGAAUUACUAGUGACAACCUAGGCACUCAGAAGGACCCAUCAAUUUAGGCAUCCCCUGUGCUAGCAACAACUAUGGUGAAAGUGUGUGAAGACAACAUAAUCAAGCAAACACCAAACAGCAGAAAAAGAUGACUAGUCAACCGCACAAAUUUAGAUGACUAGUCAACUAUCAAGAACACAAACCCAGAAAAUUUACAGAGAUGGAAACCAGAAAUUGUUCACCCAGAAACCCACCAUUGGGAAAAACUGGGGGUCAUCAACCGACCAGGCAAUCCACUAAGCAAAAAGAUUCUUACAAAGAACACUAGCAAGCUCAAGAAAUUCUUAGGUCUAUUUAGGAAGAUGAGCUAUACCUCCUUUGUGCAAUCUUCUUCUCCAACUUAGCAAAGCUUGAAGCUCAGUUCUUCAUGGCAAUGGCAGCUCCUUCUCCAGCUCUUUCAUCACAUGGCACUAGCUUGCAAGCUCUAACUCAGACAGAAAUGAAAUUUGGAUUCAUGGAGAAAAUGACAAUUUCUUCAAGAAACCAUACUCUCGAAGAAAUCAAUCUUGAAUCUGACCUAGAUAUAUAUGAUAGAGUGUUUGAUCUAGCAAGAGGAAGUUUUCAUAUUUCAAAUGCAGUUUUCAAAAAGAAAUCAUUUGGAAAACUCAAAGAUGAAAAAUAUGAAGGUUACUCUUGAAGAAGAAGAAGUGAAAGUUUGCUAUGAAACUUUCCAAAACUUGUCCCCCAAAGUGACGGCUGCCCAAAGAGGAAUUCUUUGGUAUUUACACACAAAAGUUCCUUAGGUCAGAAAGACACAUGGUAGCAGAGAGAGAAAGGAGAAUAUGACAAAAAAGUUAGUUAUCUAGCUGGAAAUCCUAUAGAGCAAGGAUGAUUAAUCAUACGAGAAACAGAUGACUAGUCAUCAUUUUAUGAAAUCAAUUUAAUGCAAUGUGAUGCAAUGCACAAUUUACCUUUGCCAAUUUGCUUCAACCUCUAUAGGAUAGUUGUUAGUUAAGAACACCUAGAGAAGCUAUUCUCAAUCUAAACUUGAGCUUGAUAAAUAACAAUAGAAAUUCUAUUACAAAGUUGUCAAGGAAAUCCAAAAGAAAAACUCAAAAUGCAUACAUUAACAAUAGGGCCAUAAGACUUCUGCUUAUGUUUUAUUUAGGUUUAUUCAGGAUGUAUGAUGCUUCACAUGUUAGUAUCUUAUUUUAUUUAUGAAUAUGUUUAUUGGGACUUACAAAUGGUCUAGAAAUUGGUUAGAAACCUAUGCAUAUUUUAGGGUUCUGGUUCAUAACCAAAUUAGAAUUCUUUUGAUAUUGUUCGCUUGAGGAUUGUUCAGGAUUUUUUUUCCCUCAGUUUCGGAUUGCUGGGCCAUGCCAUGUUCAUGCAUUUUUACAUGAGUAUAAUAAGGCCACCAAAAUCAAUGCGAACCAGAGAAGUCAUUCUAUAAUGAGGGUCUAAGGGUUUUAGAUUUGGCUUUAUCUCUUAAUCAUUGCAUUAAACUAACUUUAUUUAUAUGAUUCAACAACUAAAAAGAUAGGGCUGUUGUAAAUGUGGAGCCCAAAUGCCUAUAAAUAGGGCUUCUCCAUUUGUAACAAAACACACAUAAGAAGAGAAAAACUUCUCUCUCUCUCCAUCUAAAUUCUCUCUCAAUUUCCUCUCCAAUUUCUCUCUUGAUUUAUAACACGUUAUCAGCACGAUUUAUCUCUAAAAUACCAGCUGGGAAAUUCGAUCAAAACACUCUGCUUCAUGCUUUUCUGUGCAUCAAUAUAGCUUCUGUGUCACUCUCUAUAGCUUCAAGCCAUAGCCAGAACCACAGAGCAAAAGCCAUCGGUUUGCAAACAUUUCUUUUGCAAACUCAAAAGAAAGCUAUUAGUUUACUGAAGCUCUCAGUUCAUAUCAGCAGACAGGGUUUGCAUCAAAAAGUGCUGCUCCACUGCUUCAAAAUAAAUCCCACAGAAAAAGAAAAAGCCCAGAACCCAAAAGAAAAAAAUAAAAAAAAAAAAAAGGAUUUCUCGGUCUCUGUCUCUCUGUCUCCUCCGCUCUUCAGCCUUUAGCCACGGUUGGAGAUUAUAAAACAGCAGCAGCAGCAGCAGCAGCUACCACAUGAAGCUGAAGCAGCCCUUUGGUGUUCAUCAACACACCCAAAGCCAACGACUCUUGCAGACAUGGUUGAAAGCUCUGCAACGUCUAGCUCCAGAAGCAGCAGCGGCAGCAGCAGCUACCACAUGAAGCUGAAGCAGCCCUUUGGUGUUCAUCAACACACCCAAAACCAACGUCGCCUCCGAUGAGAACCCAGCAACCACCUCCUCGCCGUAGAGCUCGACGACUGCCUUUGCCUGCAUUUUGAUGGUGGUGGUGCUUUCUUCUUAUUCUUGGGCUCCGUCACCAUCAUCCUCUCCGCCGACGCCGAGCUCCGCUCGAAUCCGAACGAGUGCGACCGCUUCAGGACGAAAUCUCCGCCGUUGAUCCGAUAAUCCUUCCAGUGACAGGCGUGUUCUUGCCUCGCAUAUACACCAACCCUGCUCCUGAGCCUCGCAAGAAAACAGUUUUCCCAACUGUUCUGCUCCCAGCCAAGGUAGUUCAAGCCCUCAACUUGAACUUUGAGGACUGGUAUUUCAUGGUCCAAACCCUUCAAAGAACCCUGUGUCUGGGGCUAAGAGGGGCUUCUCUGAGACCAUUGAUCUCAAACUGAACCCUCAGUCCAAGGAAGAUCUGAACGACAACGUCAAAAAAAAAAAAAAAAAAAAAAAAAAAAAAAAAAAGAGAAAGUUGUGGGUUGGCCACCAGUGCGAUCAUACCUGGAGGUUACUGGCGAGAUGGUUGCACCAAAUGAGGGGAUGCCAAAAUGAUGAGAUUCUCACCAUCUUUUUUACUUAUUAUUAUUCUAUAUUAUUUAAUAUUAAUAUUAAUGCAUGUGCUAAUGGCAGGUCAAAUGAAAAUACAGUGACAAGCAUGAUGCCUUCCACAAACGAUAAUAAUAUUAUCUGCUACACUAUUUGAUCGUGGUGUUGAUGAGAACUCACCAAUAAUUGCCUUUACUUUAUCGCAAAUUUACUAUUAUUAAAAGUAUGAUGUGGAAUUAACCCUCAUACUUUAUGAAUUUACUUUACUGCACAUUUACUUUUACUUAAAGUAUGAUGAGGAAUUACAUACUUUAUGAAUUUACUUUACCGCACAUUUACUUUUACUUAAAGUAUGAUGAGGAAUUAACCCUCAUACUUUAUGAAUUUACUUUACCGCACAUUUACUUUUAGUAUGAUGAGGAAUUAACCCUCAUACUUUAUGAAUUUACUUUACCGCACAUUUACUUUUACUUAAAGUAUGAUGAGGAAUUAACCCUCAUACUUUAUGAAUUUACUUUACCGCACAUUUACUUUUAUUUAAAGUGUGGUGCGGGUUUAUCGUCCAUACCAGUAAUUUAUUUUAUGGAUUAAAUGUGCUGUAUGAUGAGUUUUUACAGUAUGCAUAUCAGGACCAGAAGUUCCUUGAUCCUCAUCAUACAAUUACAUCAGGACUUGAAGAUCCUUGAUGAUGAUGUUAAUAUGAGAGCUGGCAGUCUCUCCGGUACUAUAUUUGUAAACAUGUGAUUGGACUUGAGGGUCCUUGAUCCCUGACAUGUAAAUAAGGACCUGGGGUUCCUUAAUGAUGUAACAGUAUCGUAUUGUUUCAUAAUGCCGUACACAUGGAUGAUAACUGUACUGGCAAAUGUACUGUCCACAUGAAUAGAUACGUAUUCAUGACUUGAUGAAUAGUACCGGAUAUAUGAAUAGUGACGUAUACAUAAAUAUUAACCAUUUUGGGUAAACCGUCACUAUAUUCAAAAAGGGAACCUGCAGUUCCUUCAACUCAUGAAUAAGCAAUUAAAUGAGAUGCCAGAAGUUCCUCAAGAUAUGGACAAUUAUGUAAGGACUUGAAGUCCAGAAAUAUGUACAGAAAAUUGUAAAAAUGUUCAUACCAUGAGAAUAUGUAAUUUUGGCUUGAGGUUCAAAAUCUAACAAUGUUGAGAAUCUGAAGUUCCAACAAUUAAAUGGACAACUCUUGAGGUAUUAUUGCAAAUUGUGGUACGCCACAUAUCUCUUUGGCAUAAGAGAAUGAUGAAUUGAGGCUCCCCACAUAUUUUGUUAUAUCUGGGCCGGAAGCUCAUGAACCCAAAUAUAUGAGAUAUUAACGUGGCUUUUACUCAAUUCAUAUUUCAUGACCAUUUUGAAAAGGGCAAAUAAAUUCUGAGUUUUGUGUUUAGCCCAGGCCAAAAGUUCCGGGCUUCCAUACAUUGAAAUAUGAAAUUUGGGAGAGUUAAUAUGGUUAUUUGAACCUAUAAGGCACAAGGUUCCAAACCGUCAUUUUGAAAAGACGUAAAAACCACAGGUGCAAAUUUUAAGAAUGUGCGCAAUUAUUAUAACAGGAAAGGAGCAAGUUGUAACACAGUUGCUCCAAUCAAGUUUUGCAAAGGCCAUAUCUAUAGGAGGAAAUAUGGCUACGGUUUCCAGGAUCCCAAUAUUAUCUCAGAUCCCCAUAUUAUCUUUUUCUUUCCCAGAUUCCAAAACUUCACGUGGCCUCCAUUAAAUGUCUGUCGGCACUUUCGGCGUUUUCAAAGUAUUAUUUUCGUCAAAAGCCGAUCUUGCUUUGCGGAUUUCACGGAGCUACUUUUUCAAAAGUACCCCGAGAAUCUCGCAAUUUUCCUAUGAUUAAUUUGAAAUUCACCGGUUCUACCUAUUCAUUGUAUUUGUGUAUAAAUGUGUUACUAACGAAAUUUUCUUUGCAGAAGACAUCCAGUUUUCUCCAUACCUAGUGAUGCGAUAUCUACUUGUUUUUCUUAUCAGUGAGCACUUAAUAUGCCCGAGAACCAAGGCUAUCUCUGAUCACCCAUUCAGGAAGCGAGACUAUCCCUGAUCACGUUUCCGCUACAUCAGGAAACUGUGAAGGCGAUCUUAUGCUCUAAUCUCCGGAAGUCCUUCUAGACUAGGAGAUAUGAGAGCUUAUUGUCUGCUCCCACCAGCUUCCUUCCCUGAUUGCUUACCUUCCCUUUUUGCAUUUUUUCUCUUUCUGUAACUCUCUGAGGAUUAUUUGUUUUUGACAGAGAAAAGAGUUGUGAUAUUACUCUUGCAGGAUAUAACUACAUCAUCAAGCGCUACAUUUACUGGGCCGAUACAAGCUUGAAUGAUACUUGAGAAAAGUUUCUCCCACCUAAGGAUGUAAGCAAUACUUGUGUUAUUUUAUGCUUAUAUACUCAUUUGAUAUUUUAUCUUGAAAGGUAGCCAAAUGGGAAGAUAAGUCCGUUCCAACAGAAUGGCUUGUAUGUAUCCAUGAAUUAUUAAUACAAAUUUUACAGAUUGUAAGUUGGAUACAUUGAUAAUACACUGCACAGAUUAAAGUCCCAUAAGAACAGAAUAUGGGUAUAGCAGUGAUCAAUAUGAUGCACGCCUGUUGCGUAGCAAAUGAUAUGGAUUGAAGUCCCGAAAGGACAAUCCUUUGACAUGUCAAUAUUGAUAUUAUGCACGCCUAAUGCGUAGCAAAUUAUAUGGGUUAAAGUCCCAUAAUAUGGGUUAAAGUCCCAGAAAUUAAUUGACAUGUAUGUAUUAAUCUGUGGCAUGCCUGCAGCAUGACAGAUAUAUGGGUGCACGCCUGUUGCGUAGCAAAUGAUAUGGAUUGAAGUCCCGAAAGGACAAUCCUUUGACAUGUCAAUAUUGAUAUUAUGCACGCCUAAUGCGUAGCAAAUUAUAUGGGUUAAAGCCCCAUAAUAUGGGUUAAAGUCCCAGAAAUUAAUUGACAUGUAUGUAUUAAUCUGUGGCAUGCCUGCAGCAUGACAGAUAUAUGGGUUCUAAAUGUUCCAACUCUCUAAAUAGAGAUUAUCCACGCCCUACUGUAAAAUAACGCUCCAUUGGAGGUUAUAACCCACAUUCUCACAUAAUAAAAGCCCCAUGAAGUGGCUUGGGUACCCAAAAGCAAAGAAAUGCUUAUAAUUGAUGCAUGCGCAUGCACAUGAGAAUGGUGGGAUCAUGAAUUGAUGAAUGACAAUUUUUAAUUUUGGAGUAGCUACUCAAAUCAUCAAUGGGCUGUGUUGAUUGGAACCACGUUCAAUUAUUAAAUGUCGACAAUAUCAUUGGCCAAAAUGGAACGAGGUAAUUCCAUUAUAAAUGAGAAUGAACGUGAAAGAACAAACCCAUAAUACGAACCCCAAAAUUUGUUAAUACUGAAAGUUAUACUUGGGUGUUCGGAAUAAAAGGGAAUAUACCUACUUUGUAUGACACACUGUUUCUGGCAGAAACAAGGAAUGUUGGGUUUUCUCCAUAUUUACAGAUUCAAUUGUGCCCCCCCCCCCUUAUUACACAAUUACGGAGACCAACAUAUUAUCUUUAAGGGUUAUUAAAUGCACGGAGCAUAUCGCCAGAAGCGAUUCCCUAAAGAUGUAUAAAUAGCUGGGUUAAAGCUAUAUAAUGUGUCAUAAAGCUUAAUCCCUUUUAGACAAAAUCCGUUGAGAGGAUUGAUAUUGCAUAAAGCAAGUCCCUAAAGGACAUGUGCUUGAAGCACAAAAUUUGUACUCAAUAUUAAUAUGCAUAAAUUACCUCAGUGAGUACAUUGAUUAUAAUGUGAUUGCAACACAUUAAAGCUUCUGCAGAAUUCAUGAAAUAUUUGUCUCGAUCGAGCAUUAUACCAACGAGAUUCUUGCUUAUACUAAGAGAGUCUUAUCUGUUGGUCCUUAAAUGUUUUUUCCGGAAGUAUACUAGACCAGAUAAAGCUCAGCUCCACACUGUACUCUUUUUCCUUCAUCCAGGUUUUUAUCCCAUUGGGUUUUUCCUGGUAAGGUUUUAACGAGGCAGUGUCGCUCAAGGGUUUAGGGUAUACUAUGAAAAUUUUUAUGGUCGCUUACUGGACAAAAGCUAGUCCUAAAUUUUUCAGGGGGAGAUAUUCACAAAGGGGGAGCAUGGUUUUAAUAAAGACCUCCAUACACUGUACUAUUUUUCCUUCAUCCAGGUUUUUAUCCCACUGGGUUUUUCCUGGUAAGGUUUUAACGAGGCAGUGUCGCUCAAAAUUGACUCACAGAAGCAGUGUCAACUACGAUGGUCAGAAAGGUGAUCAACAACAUGACUUAAAGAUAUUUUGCCAAGCAUCAGGGGGAGCGUGCUAUCAAUACAGAUCUUCAAAACACUGUACUCUUUUUCCUUCGUCCAGGUUUUUAUCCCACUGGGUUUUUCCUAGCAAGGUUUUAAUGAGGCAGUGUCGCACGUGCGUCAAUAUACAUGGAAUUUUAUGUUACACACUAUUAUGUACUCUUUUUUCCUUUGACUAGUUUUUGUCCCACUGGGUUUUUACUGGCAAGGUUUUUAACGAGACAUAUUCUGUAUCAUUUGUGGUCUCCAAGGGGGAGUGUUGUAAAUGUGGAGCCCAAAUGCCUAUAAAUAGGGCUUCUCCAUUUGUAACAAAACACACAUAAGAAGAGAAAAACUUCUCUCUCUCUCCAUCUAAAUUCUCUCUCAAUUUCCUCUCCAAUUUCUCUCUUGAUUUAUAACAAGGGCAUAUAAAACCAUCAAUAUAGAAUUCUACUAUUUAACACAUGCAAGUUUCAUGGUCAAAUAAAUAAAGAGCCUUGUAUUUGUAAGGCCGAAAACCUUGUUUGUAUUUGUUUGUCUAGAACACUAAAAUAAUGAAGUAAAGAAAUAAAGAGUAGAGGGGCGACUGAUGAAUAAGAAUAGCUAGAAAAUAAAAAAACACAAAAGCAAAAAACAAAAGUUGUCUGGGAAGAUUAAAAAAUGAAACAAAAAAGUUGUCAAGCAACAUUAAAAAAAUAGGAUGAUUGAGAGAAAUCAUGCCCUGGCUUAAAUUUGUGAGACCACUGGUUUAUUAUGCCCUCGCUUAAACUGCAAGAUUGUACAUAGCACAAACCAAAACCUCAUACGAAAAAUUUAAUACUGAAACAAGCAAAUUAAUCAAAACAAUAUUCAUCUGAUGUGAUAAAACCAAAACAGAUGAUAGCAAACCUCAAACAAUCGCGGCUACAAAAAACAUAAUUUAAAUUUCGAUAUCCUCCCUGCCAUAAUAAGGGAUGCAAAACUUAAGAGCUAGGCUUCAAUGUGUUUCCAAUGUCAAUGACAAAGCGAUAUCUAACGUCUGUUUUAGCAAGACGCUCCAUUGCAGUGUUCACAUAAUCAAUAGGGAUAACUUCAAUAUCAGCUGUAACGUUGUGCUUGGCCGCAAAAUCAAUCAUCUCUUGUGUCUCCUUCAUACCACCAACGCAACUACCAGCUACUAUCUUCCUUCCUAGUAAAUUUCAGAAUAAAUAUAAAUAGUUAGGUUAAUUAAUGGAGAAAAAGAGCCAAAAAUAUGUACAUAUAUACUUAAACGCAAUGAGACAUUGAAGGGAGUUUCAUCAUAUGCUUACCCAUCAGCAGAGGAAAAACCGGAAGCUCGGGACGCUUCUCCGGUGCACCAACCAUAACAAGCUUUCCAUGAGACUUUAACAAAUCAAUGUAAGGUAAGAGAGGAUGGUUUGCAGAGACUGUAUCAAUAAUACCAUCCAUCGUGCCCAUGGCAGCCUAUGCAUAAUGAAGCAAAAAUUUAAAAACUUGUCAGGUCAUCUACUAUUUUCUUUGUACGGUCUCAACUGAUCAUGUAUUGUAAUGAAUCGUACGGUCUCACCUGCAUCUGAUCUUCAUCACGACUGACCAAAAACAAGUCAGCAUGAAGAUGUUUAAUAGCUUCCUCCUCCUUUCCAGGGGAGGUACUGAUCACAGUAACCUUAACCCCCAUAGCCUUGGCAAAUUUCACAGCCACAUGGCCUAGACCACCAAGGCCAGCGACACCUACAUGCAUACCGGGUUUGUCAAGUCCGAAAUAUCUCAAAGGGCUGUAAGUUGUAAUCCCAGCGCAUAGAAGAGGAGCAGCUCCAUCAAGAGGUAGGUUAUCUGGAAUAUUGACAACGAAGUGCUCAUCAGCCACCAUGAUAUCUGAGUAGCCUCCAUACGUAGUCGUUCCGUCAUGGUACUUGCCACCAAAUGUGGGUAUCCAUCUGGGGCAGUAGUUCUCAAGGUUGUUUGCACAAUUAUCACAAGAAUGGCAAGAUCCCACCAUGCAUCCAACACCAACCUUGUCUCCAACUUUGAAUUUUUCUACUUUGCUCCCUACCUCUGUCACGACACCAACAAUCUCAUGCCUGCAUUGCCCAAUUUAUUAAAGUUCGCAUUUUUUAUUGAUUAAAAUGGAUGUCAUAAUCCAAAUUCAUAACUUUUCAAAUUGUUACUAAAAUUUGUUUUUGAAUUGAUAAAAUAAGUUCUCUCAAUAAACAUAAUUUCUUCCUUGCAUUUCAUGCUUACCCAGGAACGAGAGGAUAGGUGGAAGCACCCCAUUCAGUGGACUCCAAUUCAUUCUUGAUUAGGUGAAGGUCGGAAUGACAUAUCCCACAGUAUGCGACUUUGAAUGUCACGUCUUUCUCUCCCGUUUCCCUGCCACCCAAAUCAACUAAUUAAUUUCUCCAACAUACUCAAAAACUGAGACUUGCUUUUAAGUAGAGGAACAAACUUUCUGUUGCUCCUAACUUAUGAACAACUUAAAUAGAAAUGAAUUUAUUUUUUGAUUUAAUAGAUUUAUGUAUAUAAUAUUUCAUCAGAAACUAGUAGAGACAAAUACUUAGUUACAUAAUUCCACGACGAAUAAAACGAUAAAUUGAAUAAGAAUUGGAUAAAGGACAUGAUUGAUAAUGUACCUUCUUGAGAAAUUGAAGGGAGAGAGAACACCUGAUGAAUCUCUGGCGGCCCAUCCAAAGGCCUUCUUGGGGUGUUCUUGUUCUGUUGACAUUUUCUCUCUAAUAAGCAAAUAAUAUUUGCAGGCACCGAGUAAUAGUACUCUGAAUUAGUAUGAGAGUCUGAGGGAGUGCAUGCAUGAUAUGUAGCAGGGGGAUUUGGUGAAGGCUGACGUACUGGGUGAGCCAAUUUGAGGUCUCUUUCGAAUGAACUAAAUUUUGUUGGCUGACCAGACAACUUCCUCGGAUAAAAGUACACUGAUGAUGUCGUCACAAUGCGUAACAGCUUACCUACAGAUGUUUUGGUUGAUAAUUAAUUUUGGUGUCGUUAUCACGGAAAGCGGAAUACAUUGACAAUAACCAUGCCUAUAUGCCUAUGCGGGUGUGCUUGGUCAACAAGUAUCUGCUCCUGCUAGAAAAUGCCGUUUAUACCAUGCCCCACACAUCUAUCCAUUCUCUCCAAAUAAUUAUUUAAAAUAAAGGAGCAAUAAUCACACUUUUAGGUCCUGUUUGGUUCACGGAAUGGAUUUGAAGGGAAAUCAUUUCCCAUGUCAUUUCCCAAGGAAUGAGAAUGAAAGAUUCAUUUCCCACGUUUGGUAAUGUCGGGAAAGUAACCUGGAGAUUUCACUUUGUUUCCUUUCCCAUGUUUAUUUUGAGUAUGAAUGGAAAACAAAGUUUGUAUAAUUUUCCAAUUAUACCAUAUUAAAUCAAAUAAGAAAGAAUGUCUUUAAUGAUACGUUGUAAUUAUAAAUUGUUCAUAGGGACAAAAUAGUCAUGAAAAUUGUGCAUUGAAUGUUGGCUCAUUUUCCCAAACUUUCCCAUGAUGAGAGAAAACAAAACCCAAGUUAAGAGGAGGGCUUCACUUUCUCCCUACUUUCUCAUGUGUCAAACAACCAUUUUUCAUACCUGGACUUACCAAAUAUGGGAAAGCAAUUGAAUUCUCAUUCCCAAGCCUCCUUUCCCAUUAACCAAACGGGGCCUUGUAGUAACCAAAUUAACUUUGGUGACAUGGGAAGGUUGGCUAUGAACUCCUCACCAUUAUUGGUGACAUUCAAAUUGAAUAUAAUAAAUAUAAAAUUAAAAAGUAAUAUAAUAUAAUGUAUCCCACACAAAGUGUACUCAACUAAAAGCAUUCAUAAUUGGCUUCCUAAACCACCCCCUUAGACAAAUUUUAGGGAGGAAAUGUAAAAAUGCAACUUCAACCAUGCUCCCUAUCCACCUCUUAAAAUAGGGAGUCUUCUAGGAGCUCUUAAAUCUGAGGAGAGAGAAAUGACUCCUAAUGACUCCCUAUAAUUUAAUGUUGGUUUAUUUAAUGAGUAUUUCAAACCAUUAUUUAAUGCUAAUUAUUUUUUUAUUUUAUUUUUUAAUAAACAUAGACCAAUCAAAAAAGAGUUAUAGCAUUUGAACCAGCACGCGCUGACGUCAGCGCGACGCCAGCUCCAACGGGAAUAAGCCACGUGUCGCCUCCCCAGCCCUCCGAUCAGCAUCUCCGAAUCCAUCCUAUGGCUGAGGCUUUUUUGGGCAAUAAAAAUAUGAAAAAAAAUCGUAAAUUUUUUUAAACAAUUCUAAAAAAUUCUGAUAUUUUUUUUCUAUAAAUACCUAUCAAUACCCUUCACUUUCAACACCAAUCCUCAUACAUUUCAUUAUACUUCUACUAUUAUUCACUCUUUGCUCAACAUUUUCCUCUUUUUCAUCUAGUAUUUUGAUUUCAUAUUUUUAUGGCUUCUUCUAUCGAAACCGGAGAGGCUUGGAGCACCAUGGAAGAUGUUUCCUUGUGUGAGGCUUGGCUCCAAAUUUGUCAUUGUCUCGUGUCCGGCAAUGAGAUGAAAUUUUUUCAUAUGUGGAAAAAAAUUCAUGCCGAAUUUUGUGAAAAAAUUCCGGGGUCUACUCGUACGGAGAUGGCAUUAUCCAGUAGGUGAAAAAUUCUCAAUAAAAAGUUGGGAAAAUGGAGAGCUGCCCUAGCAAAAGCGAUGGACAACUAUAGAAGCAAGGAAAAUCGUACUAACGAGGUAAGUAUUUUAUAAUUUUUGUUUUAUUAAGUUUAAUCUCCUAAUAUAUAUAUAUUUUGUUAAUAUUUGUUAAUAUUUCUUGCAUUUUAAAUAUUUUGUUCAUAUUUCUUGCAUUAUCAAUAUUUUGUUAAUAUUUUUUGCAAUUUAAAUAUUUUGUUCAUAUUUCUUGCAUUUUCAAUAUUUUAUUAAUAUUUCUUGCAUUUUCAAUAUGUUGUUAAUAUUUCUUGCAUUUCCACUUGUUUCUUAAUUUUCUUGCACUUCUAAUUUAUUUGUAAGGUUAAUUGCAUUUUCAUUAUUAAUUUUUUUGUUACUUAUAUAUCCAAUAUAUUUUAAAUAUUUAUUGCAUUUCUAUUUUUUUGUUAAAUAGAUGAUUCAAGCACAAAUGUGGUUCGGUGCAACCGGGGGUGGCAAAAAAAGUUUCAACCAUCAUGAAUGUUGGGAGGUGGUGAAAUAUUGCAAACGCUUCAUAAUUAUUCUGACGGGUCCGGAGGUUGUGUUAAACGAGACGCCACUCCGUGAUUCAAUGACAACGGAUUCACCUCUCGAUUCUCCUAUGAGUCAAGACUCACCCAUCGAAAAGGACCCGAGGCUCAUUGGCCGAAAGGCCGCGAAGGCAAAGAAAGCGGGUAAAUCAAGCAUGACUUUAUUGAACAAAUGAGGUUGCAUUCUAAAUCGCCUUCGAAAAUCAACAUCAGAGUACAAAGAAGUUGGGAUAAAAUAAUCUUCCAAAAGAUUCUUACCCUGAGAAUGCCUAUGUAUUUCCACAUUCCGGCGGCGGCCGACUUGUGAACCACGGCGGCGACCUUGGUUCUCUUCAUCUUCCAAAGCCACUGCUAUGAGAACUUGUUCAUCGAUUUGUCUCUGCAACUCAUUGAUUUCAUCUGCUCUACGGUUUCUCUCAUUUGUUUCUCGCUCUUGCCUCUCCAAGCAUCUCCUGAAUUCUUCCAUUUAGAAUGAAUGAAGUAUGAAAUCUAAACUCUGAGAAAUGAAAAUAUAGAAAGAUGUGGUGUGAGAGGUAUGAGCUGAGCCUCUGGUUUUAUAGAAAAUUUUGGCAAGAUAGACAUGCCACGUGGCUUGAUUUGAUUGGAUGAAAAUCUUAUCUGAAAUUUGAAAUUCAUCCGAAAUUUGAACCCAAAUUUAUAUGAAUUUUGAAUUUUGAAAUUCAUCCGAAAUUUGAACCCAAAUUUAUUUGAAUUUUGAAUUUUGAAAUUCAUUCGAAAUUUGAACCCAAAAAUUUAUCUGAAAUUUGAAUUUUGAAAUUCAUCCGAAAUUUGAUUCCAAAAAUCUUAUCCGAAAAUUUUAUCCGAUUAUGAAUAGUCUUGACACGUAGGAACCCGGAAAUCUUAUCUGAAAAUAUUAUCCAAAUUAAUUAUUUUCAUUAAAAAAGUUGUGAAAAAAAAUAAAAAAAUGAAUAGUAAUUGCCCUUAGCUAUGACAAUGGGUGAAAACACAAAAUACUAUUUGCAAGGGCAACCACUAUUCACAUGAAUAGUGGUUGCCGUAACUCCUCCCUUACCAUGACUAAAGACAAAUGAGUGAAAUUGCUCUUAGUGUUGCGCUUGGAUUACGUAUGGGGUGAUCGAAUGGAAGCUCAAAAACAGUAUUUUCAGAAUUCAUCUCACUUUGGUUGACUAGUCAACUUGUCUUUAAUUUUAGAGUGAUGUGGUCCCAGUCCCAAUGCGUAAGAGUUUACCUCCCCAUAAUUUUGGUUGUUUUAUGUGCUUCCACAAUAUAUUUAUCUGCUUCCACUAAGAAAAUUACAUGUGGUUGCAACUUGCAGCAUACUAAAUGAAUCUUGCAUAAAGUUAUUGGUAUCUCUCUGAAUAAAUAUAAAAGAGUGAAUGAAUGAUUACGAGUGGCCUGGCCAUUAAGUUAGUAUUCUUGGUGGAGUGGUUACACGAUGCCAAAGAACAGAAGCACCUAAUAAAGUUAAGGUCCUGGCCAUUAACCCUAAAUUUAAAAUUUGUAUCACCUUUAGCAUCUCCACCUUUGACUGAUCAGCAAGCCAAGCCACCACAUGCCAAUAUAUUCACAUAUGCUUAUAAUAUGGACAGCUCCUCCAUUCAAAGACUGUUUUUAUUAAUAAUUUUUUUAUCAGUAAUAUUGUAGGAGGGGGGGUUUUUCACACACACUGUUAAGAUGUCAUGGUUAUUUAAACAUGAGACCAUUGCCCUGCAAGUCAAGACUCUUUCCUUUAGGCUACCCGUUGGCUCAUUCAAAGGCUUAGUCAUUAGGCUUUCAGGUCCUUUAAUCUAUUUUCCUCACAUGUAUAUACAAUAUUCUUCAAGUAACCAGUUAGUAAGUUAAUAUAGCAGUAAGCACUCGUUCAACUUACUCUUUAGUAUAAUUUUUUAUGAUGAAAAUUGUUCCUUUUUUAGGUCCUCAUUCAAAUAUUAGUCCUUAAAAAAUUUCAUUCAAUUCAGAUGUUUUUUAGCCAUUAAAUUGCUAUCAUGAAUAUUACUUAUUUAUUGAAAAUAUUAUAGUCGGUUUAAUCCUCGUAUUUGUUGUUGUUGAUAUAAGUCCUUUGACUUUUCUACCAACUAGGAUUACAUUUUUUUUUUGUAUUUUCUAAUGUAGAGCUAUUAUUAUUAUUAUUAUUAUUAAUAAAAAAUUAUCUAGUCGUUCUUAUUAUGCCCAUGAAGUAUAAAUCGUGUAGAAAUUAAUUUAUAAGACCAUAAAUACGUUAUUUUAUUAUUAUUUUAAUAUAGGGAUAUAAAUAGGUUAAAAAACCCCAUAAUUUUGGGACAAUUUAUUAUUUUGGAGAUACAACAAAAUAGCAAUUUUUUAUUUUUGUUCAUCCUAUGAUAGCGGUAUAUUAUACACUUGUAGCCCAUCCAAUGGCCUUCUUAGGGUGUUCUUCCUCUAGAGAUUUCGCCAUUUUCUCUCUUCUAAGUAUUUUCUUUCUCAUUAGUUAUUAUUUUUUUCUGAUAAUGUAUAUUAACUAAUUAUAUAUAUACAUAUACAGAGAGAGAGAGAGAGAGAGAGAGAGAGAGAGAGAGAGAGAGAGAGAGAGAGAGAGAGAGAGAGAGAGAGAGAGAGAGAGAGAGAGAGAGAGAGAGAGAGAGAGAGAGAGAGAGAGAGAGAGAGAGAGAGAGAGAGUGUGUGUGUGUGUGUAUGUGUGUAGCAGCUAGCAAUUGUGACGUGCUAGUCUUUCGGGAGUUUUUGCUUAGAUAAAUCCAACUUCCUUGGCUUCUUCUUAGUCUGAAUCCAACUUUUUGGGUGGCAUAUAGCUUUCCUGGGAAAAUACACUAAUGUCAUUACAAUAUUUUGUUUGAGGUUACCUCUGUAAUUGUGAUUGAUGAUUUUAAAGAAAUUAAACAUUUUAAUUUACAUAUAUGUUUUAACAAAAAAAACAUUUGACUGCUUACAAAACAAAUUUUGAUACUUUCACUGAAUUAUUUAUACAUACAAACCAAACAAGUGUUCCGCUUUAAGCACUAAUUUAAGUUAUAAUCCUCAUUCACAUUAUUAUACUAGCGCAUUUCAUUUUCUUGGAAAGGUAUACUUAUUCGUCAUGCUUUUCAUGUAUGGACUGAAAUGACAUUUUCUUGAUAAGCUGAGGUACAAUUCAGGGAUUUCUCAAAUAAGGUCUCAUUAAAAUAAAAAACAGUAAAAAAAAAACUAAAUUUUAUUUUUACAUGCCCAAAAUAAAACAAUGCUACUUUUUGGCCCCUCCUCCGCUUUUUUUUUUUUUUUUUUCUUUCUGUAUGUGAAUCAACGAGUGAAAGUUAUUAUGUCUCAGCGCAAAUAGAAAAGAUAAGAAAGACAAAGGUCAUUACAAAAAUACAACGAAGGUAGCAUGACUAAAAGAUUACGAAGCCUAGAAAUGGAGCAAUACAAAUACAGAAAGGUCCAAAUUCCACUUGUGCAACUGAAUAGUCAAUGUUGCUAGUUUUUACGGAGUUAUCAUGUCUGUGCCUCCGCAUUAAUUCAUGAAGCUCCCCUAAUAUCGCUUGGAUAUAAAAAUAAAUAAAUAAAUAAAAGCAUACAGAGACAUAAAAUAUAUUUAUAUUUUUAAAAUUAAAUGAUGAAGGUGAAAGCAGUUGUGCUUGUUUCCAUCUAAAUUAAGAGCGAAAGGCUUAAUUAGGACCACUAGAUUGAAUGGAGCCAGACAAUAUUAAUGCCCAUUUGGCAUUGCUUAUCGUUCCUUUCAAGAUGCAUGCUAGUUUAAAAAAUUGGAGUCAUUAAUGUGCUAGAAAUCAAGGAGUAUCAAUAAGAAAUCAGGGAGUUUAUAACAUACUUUAAAAUAAAUUAAAUACAAAACAUGAAGGUAGAUGGCAUAUAUUGUAAUUUAGUUAAUAAAAAUAGAGGAUAUAUAUCUUACCAGUUUAGGUUUUAGUUAGAUGGUUAAAAUUAUGUGAGUUUAUGUCUAAGAUAUAAAAGUUGUAAAGAUAUCUAUAUGAAGAACCCAAAAUGGCACAGUGCAACAAAAAGCCUGAGCACACAAAAAUGACAAAAAGCCAAGAUAAUUUUAUUCAAAUAAAGAAGGGUACAUAAGCUUGAAAUUGGAAAUGACGAUCUAGUGUAGUAGGGGAGGAGCCCCCAUACUUAGCCAACUUAAGGAUCUUAGAUAAUACUUUUAAUAAUUAAUAAUAUUAUGGAAUAGGGUCGAAAGAAAAUCAACAUAAGCAAUGGCAAUGAUGACGGUUGCCUAAUAGUUUGCAGAUUCCUCCUUUCUCACAAUCUGAAGUGCAAAAUGUCCAGCAUUUUCCACCGUUUGGGUUGUCAUCCGCACCAGGGACACAAUUUCCAAGUUCAGGAUGAUCAGUACAACACUUAGACCCUUCAACAGUUGCAAUCUUCCAAACUGAAAUUAAGGAAAAAAAAAAGGACAAUUAAUUAAUUCGCCAAAAAAAUUAUAGUCUUAUUAUGAAAUGAACCAAAAAUUGAAAAACUAAAAGCCUCUUGAACAAACUCUGCAAUAUAUAAAAUUAUAUUACAAAAUAUUUACAAGAAAAACAAGUGUAGACAUGAGUUUACGAGCUUGAACAAACUCUAGAUUCUUAGUUUAAAAGUAAUUAAAAUUGAUCCAAUUUGGGUUUUCUAUUGACUCAUACAUUGAUAUGAUCAACGAAAAAGGAAAAAAAACCCUAAUAGCUUGCAUGCAUGGACAUCUGUUUGACCAUAUAUAUAGGAGAUUGUAAAUACUUAAUUCAAAAGCCUAACUAACAGGAAAAAAAAAAAUAUAUAUAUAUAUAUAUAUAUAUGAUUGAAGAUCAUUGAAACAAACCAUUGGUGGUUGACAAGAGCACCAAAAUGAGGACGAAACAAGGGAUUGUAAACUUAGCCAUCGUUUUUAACUAGAAUUCACUUCACUUGUUCUGCUAAAAAGUUGAGACGAUGUGCAAUUUAUAUAGAGAGUUAAAAUAUAUAGUCAUAAAUAUAUAAUUACGUUCAAAAUAUAUAUGGUAUUUUUUGGCAAAUAGUGGGAUUUUUGUCUGGAAAUGGGAAAUUAAAAAAAUUGUUUGCGGGUGGAAAUGAGGCAAUAUCUACAAUACCUAGUUUAAUCAGAUAUGUUUGGCUUUUGAUCUUUCAUACCUAAUACUGACCCAACAUAAAUAGAAAUAAAUCCAAUAAAGAUCCCAGGUGGUUGAGAAGAUGGGUUCAGAGGCCUAUAUUCUUUUGCAAUAUUCUAGGCCCAUAUAUGUCAACUCCAACAUUGAGAUUUUUAUUCAAGUAAAGAAGGGUAUAGAUGCUUCAAAGCGAAAUUCUAUAGUGACUAAUGAUAAGAAGAACAUGAGUUUACGCACUUCACUUCUUCUGCCAAAAAAGUUGUGGCGAUGUGCGGUUUAUAUGGAGAGUCGAAACAGUAAAAUAUAAAAUAUAUAUGGUCUUUUUAGGGAAUUAGUUGACCUUAAUUACGUUGUUACAAAUGCUACCAAUAUAUAAAGCUACGUUAACUAUUGAAACGUUUGAGAAUUAACCCAGUCUUAAUCUUUUAUGGGGUUUUUAUCAUUAUUUUGAAAUCAAUUAUCUUUCCUUUUCAAGAUGCAUGCUAGUUAUUCCUGGUAUGAUACUUUCUUUUUAAAAAAUUGGAGUCAUUAAUGUGCUAGAAAUCAGGGAGUAUCAAUAAGAAAUCAAGGAGUUUAUGACAUGCUUUAAAAUAAAUUAAAUACAAAACAUGAAGGUAGAUCGCAUAUAUUGUAAUUUAGUUAAUAAUAAUAGAGCAUAUAUAUCUUACCAAUUUAGGUUUUAAUUAGAUGGUUAAAAUUAUGUGAGUUUAUGUCUAGAAUAUAAAAGUAGUAAAGACAGCUAUGUGAAGAACCCAAGACGGCAUAUUGCAACGGAAAGCCUGAGCACACGGAAAUGACAAAAUGCCAAGAUAAUUUUAUUCAACUAAAGAAGGGUACAUAAGCUUGAAAUUGGAAAUGACGAUCUAGUCUAGUAGGGGAGGAGCCCCCCACCUACCCAACUUAAGGAUCUUAGAUAAAACUGUUAACUAAUUAAUAAUAUCAUGGAAUAGAGUUGAAAGAAAAUCAACAUAAGCAGUGGCAAUGAUGAUGAUCGCCAAAUAGUUUGCAGAUUCCUCCUUUCUCACAAUCUGAAGUGCAAAAUGUCCAGCAUUUUCCACCGUUUGGGUUGUCAUCCGCACCAGGGAAACACUUUCCAAGUUCAGGAUGAUCAGUACAACACUUAGACCCUUCAACAGUUGCAAUCUUCCAAACUGAAAUUAUAAAAAAAAAAAGAAAAAAAAAAGAGACAAUUAAUUAAUUCUCCAAAAAAUUUAUAGUCUUAUUAUGAAAUGAACCAAAAAUUAAAAAACAAAAAGCCUCUUGAACAAACGCUGCAAUAUAUAAAAUUAUAUUACAAAAUAUUUACGGGAAAAACAAGUGUAAACAUGAGUUUACGCACUUGAACAAACUCUAGAUUCUUAGAUUAAAAGUAAUUAAAAUUGAUCCAAUUUGAAUUUUUUAUCCACUCAUACAUUGAUACGAUCAACCAAAAAGGAAAAAGAAAAAAAAAAACCCUAAUAGCUUGCAUGCAUUGACAUCUGUUUGACCAUAUAUAGGAGAUUGUAAAUACUUUAAUUGAAAAGCCUAACUAACAGGAAAAAAAUAAAAUAUAAAUGAUUGAAGAUUAUUGAAACGAACCAUUGGUGGUUGAUAAGAGCACCAAAAUAAGGACUAAACAAGGGAUUGUAAACUUAGCCAUCCUUUUUUCUUGAAUUCACUUCACUUGUUCUGCUAAACAGUUGAGACAAUGUGCGAUUUAUAUAGAGAGUCCAAAUAUAUAGUCAUAAAUAUAUAAUUACGUUCAAAAUAUAUAUGGUAUUUUUAGGGAAUUAAUUGACCUUAAUUAUUUUGUUACAAAUGCUACAAAUAUAUAAAGCUGAGUUGACUUCUGAGAAUUAAGCCUAGUCUUCAAUCACGUCGGCUGCAAAACUAGGAAAGGAAAUGCAUACUGUCUUUCUUUUAUGGGGCUAUUGUUAUGGAAAGGAAACGCAUACUUUCUUUCUUUUAUGGGGUCAUUGUUAUUUCGGAAUCAAUUAUCUUUCCUUUUCAAGAUGCACUAGUUAUUCCUGGUAUGAUACGGCCCCUAGGAUCAUUUUUGUUCUUGUAAUUUGCUUUAUUUUGUUAAUCAAAAAAGUUGUCGUUUCUUCUAUAAAAAGAAAAUGAAAAUCAAGCAUAAAUUAUAUCUUUUCCAUACACUACUAUCAAAUUUUACACAUGUUAUGCAUGUGAGUUCCACAUUAAAAUCCGUAAUCUAAUAUAUGAAAAUUUUAGAAUUAGAUUAACUAGAGAGGAGUAGUUGAUUUCUCUCUCUCUCUCUCUCUCUCUCUCUCUCUCUCUCUCUCUCUCUCUCUCUCUCUCUCUCUCUCUCUCUCUCCAGUUUCUCACUUGCCCAAUUCAAGACUUUCCCUAUAGAUAGAUAUGACCCAUAUAGAUACAGAGAGCUUCAGUUGACGAAUUCCUCAAAAAAUUUUAUUUGAGGGACACCCAUAUAGGUCCCACUAAACCCUCAAUAGGAGGGGAUUGUAUAUACACUGCUACAAAAAGGGAAAAAGACGACCACAAACAAAUAACGGCAGGAUAAAAUACCGUCGUUGUGUUUAGAAAGACGAGGGUAACAGAAAACCGUCGUGGAUAAGUAACAUAAACACCUAAAAAAUAGAGAUCCGCUUGGGUAUUUUUAAAACACAACUCAUCGAACUAAAAAAACGUCAUCUUAUUAAAAAGGUUUUCUAAAAUAAUGACAGCAGGUAUGAAGCCACCGACGUAGAAGAUUAAGACGACGGUUUACCAAAACAGCCGCCAUGUUAACUCCUAAAUAAACACGACCAUCUGUUCUUAAUUUGCGUCGUAUAAUUUAAACGGAAUCCACGUCGUUAUAUUACAAAGUAGCAUUGUCAUAAAGCAAUGUUCCAUGACGGUAAAGAUAAAUUUAUCGACGUCUUAUUUGGGAGUGUACUACAACAAUAUCUGUAACACUUCUAUCGUAAAUAUUAGUGGAGAACCACGUCUUUUUUUACUAUAUCAAGACAUAUUAAGUUACUACACGAUGACGGUCCAUAUAAGUUAGUACUAACCACGUUGGUAUGUUCAAUUGGAGUCGUAUAAUAUUACUUUACCACGUCGUGAAGUGAAAGGUAUCGUCGUAUUAUUUCAAUUAAUACAUUUGCAAAUUGCUAAAAGGGUAUGUUCAGAAUCGUACUCGUCCUGAAGGUUGCAUUGCUGAGCGGUGUAUAGCUGAAGAAAUUGUAGAGUUUUGCACCGAGUAUUUAUCUGAUGUUAGUACAGUUGGAGUGCCAUCAAGCUAGAAGAUGGGAGUUUCAAAGCCAGUAUCAGGUUGCACAGUGAGCUUAAUUGAUCGAGACUUGUUGAACUAGGCACAUUUAUAUGUCUUGGAGAAUACGGAGGAAGUCCUACCUUAUAUCGAGUAUGAGUUUUAUUCUUUAAGAUAUAUGAUUAAUUUGCAGGUUCAAAGUGAACUUAAUGGGGAAGAAAAUAACGGCGUAUCAGAAAAUUUGAGGUGGCUAGCAGCUAGUCCAAGCAUGGCAGUGCCAUCAUAUAGGAGCUAUCUUAUUAAUGGUGUUAAAUUUAACACUAAGGCACAAGAUGAUGUGCAAACUGUCCAAAAUAGUGGAGUUUAUUUACCUACACAUACUAUGCAAGUUGCUAGUGCCAAGGAUAAAAACCCUAUUGUCUCCAAUAUGGAUUUUUGUGGUGUCAUUCAAGAAAUUUGGGACCGUGACUACCAAAAGUUUAGAAUCCCAGUCUUAAGGUGUGAUUGGAUAGAUAAUACUUCAGGCCUUGUAGUCGAUGAACCUAGAUUUACUCUUGUAGAUCUGAGUAAAAUUGGAUAUAGGAAUGACCAAUUUGUUAUGGCUUCAAAAGUCAAACAAGUAUCUUUUAUUGACAACCCAAUGCAUUGUGGUUGGUCGGUAGUGUUAACAAUGCCUAAUAGAGAAUAUAAUGAUGUUAUUGGUGAUGAUGUGCUAGGUGAUAUUAGAAUUGAGUGUUAGCCAUUUACUAGAGGGAUACCAAAUGUUGACACAUUUGAUGACCUAAUGGGUAAGUUUGGGAGUGAAAAUAUUAGAGAUGAGUGUGAAGAUAUAUGGAUUGAUUGAUUGUUGUAAUGUAUGACAUUAGUUAUGCAGUUAAUUAUAUGACAUUAAUUAAUAGCUCUAUAUAUCAUUUUAAUUCGGAUAACAUUUUCAUUAUGCAAGCUUUGGGCAAACAAAUUAAAAAUACUGGGUUAAAGGUGUACAAUACAACAGUUCAGUUAAAAAAUCACAAAAACAGAUGUCUAAAACAUAACCAACGUCGUAUUUUUAUAAAUAACGUGGAAUGACACUACAAAAGUCCGUAAAGAAAUAAAAACCGCCGUUUGAAAAAGAAAACAUGUUGGUUAAUUAAAAUUAAAUUACACAGGUUAAUAAAUAUUACCAAAAAAGAUGGUCAUGAAAAUAAUGCACAUCGUAGAUUUAAGAAUACCACAACGGAACAGUGCUCCAACUAACGAAUUUUGAAAAACACUACUUCCACCGAUUAAUAAUUACCGUCGUCUAAUGUUGGAAAUAAAGGCAACUCAGUUUCAUUAACUGUCGUGACACUCUUCUGCACGUCGGUUAGGCUAAAACAAUUGACGUCUCAGAGAAUACACACGUCAAAGAGGGUUAUAAAAGCGACUUUUAAGAGGCCAACCACGUCAAGACCUACACAAAAACCGACACGGUAAGUAACAUAACAACGUCGACAAAUUGGAUGCUUGGGACGUAGUGAAGAACAUAACCAUGAUCGUUGUUUUAUAUUAACCAUCGUACAAGCACUAAUCCACGGCGUUUCUUUUCCUGUUCACGCCGUCAAAAUAAUUUUUAAUCUCUUACCACAGGAGUCAUGGUUAGGAGUUGUUACAUCGUUUUUCAAUAAAAGGUGUGUCAUGUUAAAUCUUUAAGAUGUCAGUGUUUUUAAAAAAAAAAAACGUUUGCUAACUUUGUCCAAUGGGCUUUUUUUACCAUUUAAACGUCGGUUCUCGCAAGAAACGGACGUGGAAUAUAUUUAAAAAGAUGAUUUUUUCCUCCCUAGCGACGUGGUUAAUACAUUUUACGUCAGUUAUGGUAUGAUUUUUGACAUGUAAUAUACUUUAGACGUCUAUUCUUUUCUGUAAGUGUCGUCUAAGUUUGUCGAAGUUUUUAUUUUUUUGCAUUUUUAUAUAUUUUAGACAUCAAUUUUUUAUUUUAUUUAGUCAACGUAGUAUAUGUUAACCACGACGGUUUCUACCACUACUACAUUUUACACUUUGCGCGACGAAGAGAAUUUCGUCGCGCAAAAUACAUUGUAGUCGCACAAAUUUUAACGCGACAGAAACUUCGUCGCGCAGAAUCCGUCGAGCAAAGAUCGUGAAGAAAGACUUUGCGCGACCAAGUUUUUUCAUUGGUCGCGCAAAGUGACUUUGCGCGACAAAAAAAUAUUGGUCGCGCAAAGUAACUUUGCGCGACGAAAACAUAUUGGUCGCGCAAAACUUUGCGCGACGAAACACAUUGGUCGCGCAGAGGUUUGCGCGACGAAAAAUAUUUGUCGCGCAAAAUUUUGCGCGACGAAACACAUUGGUCGCUCAAAGGUUUGCGCGACGAAAAAUAUUUGUCGCGCAAAGUCUCAAAAAAAUUUAUAAAAAUAAAAAAUUCCCGCGUCUCAUUUUUGGUACCCGCCUACAUUUUUAGAGUUUUGUGCGACGAAUACUAAUGUCUCGCAAAUAUUUGCGCGACGAAAUAUUUUUUGUGUUUUAAAUUUUUUUAAUUAAAAUAAACUAAUUUAAUAGUUUGCGCUACAAAAUAUUUUGUCGCGCAAGGUUUUUGACUUUUUAUUUUAUUAUUUCUUUAAUAUUAAUUUAUUUAUAUUAAUUUAUUCAAAUUUUUACUUUUUAAAUUUAAUUUAAUUGUAUGAUUUUUUUUUAAAUCACUUUAAUUUAAAUUGAUAUUAAUUUUUUCAAAUCUUUACUUUUUAAAUUUAAUUUAAUUGUAAGAUUUUUCUUAAUUACUUUAAUUUAAAUUGACAUAUUCAAAAUAAAAUUACAUAUGAAAAAUAGUGAUCAAAUUAUCCAAGAAAUAUGUUUUGAUAGCUUCCUAAUCCUCAACUUUAGCCAUCAAAGUCUCAAUGAUUACCUACAAAAAAAUAAAUAUGGUCAAAUAACAACAACAACAAAAAAAAGAAUGCAUAAUCUCCUCUAAAAUUGUUAUACCACAAAUCCAACCCAAACUCCAAUCUCUCCCUUUUACUCAACCCCAAACCCCACACAAACUCAAAACUAACUCCAAAAACACAUAUUAAUGAAAAAAAUUUCAAAUUUGGAGAGAAUAUAUCUUUUGGCAAGAUUGAGAAGGAGAAGUGAGUGUGAGAGAAUUAGAUAAGAUAGUGAUAGAGAGAUGAGAGAGUGAGAGAUAGUGAAAAGAUAGAUGAGAGAGUGAGUGAGAGUGAGAGAUAGUGAAGAGAGAUAUGAGAGAUUAAGUGAGAGGAGUGAGUGUGAGAGAAAGGGUGGAAUUUGGGGAGAGGGAAAGAGAGAGGAGAGGUAAGAGUAGAGAAAGACAUUGAGAAAAUGGUGGAUGAGUAAUUUCGGUUUUAAAAAUCGUAUCACUUUGCGCGACGAAAUAUAUUGUUGGUCGCGCAAAGUUUUGCGCGACGAAACGUAUUGGUCUCGCAAGUUUUGCGCGACGAAUAUAGGAAUAUUGGUCUCGCAAAGUCUAAAAAAAAAUUAUUAUUUUUUUAAAAAAUUCCCGCAUCCCAUUUUUGGUACCCGCCACAAUUUAACUUUGCGCGACGAAAAAUAUAUAUUGGUCGCGCAAAGUCUAAAAAAAAAAAAAUUUUUUAAAAAAAUCCCGCAUCCCAUUUUUGGUACCCACCAAAAUUUAACUUUGCGCGACGAAUAUAGGAAUAUUUGUGGCGCAAAGUCUAAAAAAAAUAAUUAUUUUUUUUAAAAAAUUCCCGCAUCCCAUUUUUGGUACCCGCCAAAAUUUUUAAAUUUUUGCGCGACGAAAAGUACAUAUUGGUCGCGCAAAGUCUAAAACAAUUAUAUACAAAAAGUCCCGCGUCCCAUUUUUGGUACCCGCCCAAAUUUUUGCGCGACGAAAAAUAUAUAUUGGUCGCGCAAAGUUUUGAGCAACAAAAAAUAUUGGUCGCGCAAAGUCUAAAGUUUUUUAAAAAUAAUUAUAAAAAAAAAACCCGCGUCCCAUUUUUGGUACUCGCCCAAAUUUUUUGAUUUUGCACGACGAACUGUUGGUCGCGCAAACUUUUGAGAGACGAAAACGUAGCACAAUAUUUAUAAAAAUAAUUAUUUUUGAAUAAGAAAAAAUAAAAAAUAAUUAUGAUUUAAAAUAUAAUUAAGGUGAAAGCUACUUAAUAAAUGUAUAUACUAUUCAAUUUCUUAACACGUACAAAAUAAAUAAAUUUAAAGCUAUUUAAUAAAAAUAUAUAUAUACACACACCAUUCAACGAUCCAACCGUAAGACUUGUUUGUAUAUACUUCAAGAUCGUAUAACCCAAAAAUCGCAAAAAACAAAUAUUCAGAGAUCUAGUAACGGGACAAAACUUUUCGAUAGUUAUAAAUGAAAAAUCACGAUUUAACGGUUAUUUUAACUCCGAUUUUGAUGAUUUUUUUACAGCUACACUCCUUGACCCUAUAUGAAUACAAUGACUGAAUUUGAUCUUCAAUUUAAAACAUUUGCACUAGUGGAUACCACAAAAUCUUAUGUUAUAUUUAACGAAAGUAUAAAUAAACUCUUAAUUGUUAGUGAAUAUAUUGUUUUGAUGGCAUACACAUUCUACGAAACUAGUUUCAACGAUCCAACCGUCAAACUUGUUUGUUUAUACUUCGAGAUCAUAUACGCAAAAAUCGAAAAAAAUAAACAUUCAGAGAUCAAGUAAAGGAACAAAACUUUUCAACAGUUAUAAAUGAAAAUUCAUGAUUUAACGGUUAUUUUAACUCCGAUUUUGAUGAUUUUUUACAGCUACACUCCUUGACCCUAUAUGAAUACAAUGACUGAAUUUGAUCUUUAAUUUAAAAUAUUUACACUAGUGGAUACCACAAAAUCUUAUGUUAUAUUUAACGAAAGUAUAAAUAAACUCUUAAUUGUUAGUGAAUAUAUUAUUUUGAUGGCAUAUGCAUUCAAAUAAACUAGUUUCAACGAUCCAACCAUCAAACUUGUUUGUUUAUACUUCGAGAUCAUAUACGCCAAAAAUCAGAAAAAAUAAACAUUCAGAGAUCAAGUAAUGGGACAAAACUUUUCGACGGUUAUAAUGAAAAAUCACGAUUUAACGGUUAUUUUAACUCCGAUUUGGAUGAUUUUUUACAGCUACACUCCUUGACCCUAUAUGAAUACAAUGAACUAAUUCGAUCGUCAAUUUAAAAUAUAUAUUUUCUAACAAAAACCCAAUCCGAACAACAAUAAUAUAUUUUUCUAACAAAAAUCCGAUCCGAUCUAAAAUAAUAAAUUUAAAGCUACUUAAUAAAUAUAUAUACCGUUUAAUUUCUUAAGUGUUAUGCAUACAAAAUAAAAAACAAAAAUAAAUUGGUUUAGGUGACAAAAUGUUUGGAUUACGUCAUGCAAAGAUUUUAAAAAAAUAAUUUUUUUAUUUUAUUUAUUUUUAUAAGGACUUUGCGCUACGAAGUUUACUUUUCGUCGCGCAAAGUCACUUUGAGCAACGAAUUAUUUUUCGUCGCGCAAAAUUGGUCGCGCAAGACUUUGAGCGACGAUGUAUUGUCGUUGCGCAAAAGUUUGUCGCGCGAAGUGACUUUGCGCGACGAAUUAUUUUUCGUCGCACAAAAUUUGGUCGCGCAAGACUUUGAGUGACGAAGUUUCAAGUUUCGUCGCGCAAAGUGACUUUGAGCUACGAAUAGUUUUUCGUCGCGCAAAAUUUGGUCGCGCAAAGGGUUUUUUUUACUAGUGUACGUUAGACACGAGGGUAUUCCUUCAAAUAGAGACGUGGAUAACUUUUUUUAUGUCAGCGUUUAUGUAGUUCUUGAUAUGUAACAUUCUUUAGACGUCUCUGUUUUUUAAAAACCGUCGUAUAAUGUUGUCGAAGUUUUCUUUUUAUGCUAUUUAUAUAUUAAUUAGACGUCGGUUAUUAUUUUGGUAUGAUGUUGAAUGUCUUAACAACGUCGGUAAUUUGCCGUCGUUGUUUUAUGUAUCAAAAGAUGGCGGUCGAUUUCAUGACGGUUUGAAAACCUUCUUGACGAUGAGAAUUCUCGUCGUCUAUUUCAAUUUUUGUAGUAAUGAUAUAUAUAUGCAUUUGAAAACUAAUUAAUAGAGCUUUUUAGUGAAAUUUAUAUCUCAAUUGGUUCAUACUUAAAAAAUUAAUUGUGAUUGCAGCUUUUAUUGUUUUUGUCAUGAAUUACGAAUGAAAGUACUAUUUUUUAUUUUUUUUUAGUGUUAUUUUCAUCUUAAACAAAUUUCUGAACUUUUACACCACCAACUCUUGAGGUAACAAUCAGGUAUUGAUGAUAGUAAAGACUAGAAGUUAACAUUCACCUGAAAAUUUUAAGAGGACUAGAGAAGUUUAUAAGGAGCUCUCAUAUCAAAGAAUGAGUAACAAAGUUUGCCUAGAAAUUAAUAGCCCAAAAUUUCAUAAACAUCGACUUUAUUUCAAGAAUAAGAUACACACGACAAAAAAUUAAGCAUUCCCUUGUGCAUCUUAAAAUAUAUUCUUCGUCUCUAUGGAAUUAAUAAGGCCAAACAUCCCAUGUGCGCGAUGAUGAUCCUUAGCAAUUCAUCUUAUUGCCAAACAAGGCAUGUUGGCUAGGAAGUUAUUUUCAUAUUAAUAUGGAGAUUUUAUGGUGUUUGCCACAUCAAUGACAAAGCGGUACUUAACAUCAGCCUUGGCAACUCAAGGGCAGUGUUCACAUAAUCCAUUGGAAUAACUUCAACAUCUGCUGUGAUAUUGUGCUUUGCUGCAAAGUCUAUCAUCUCUUGGGUCUCUUUCAUUCCCCCAAUUGCACUGCCAGCAACAAGCUUCCUCCCUAGUAAUUAAAUCACAGAAUUUAGUUUAUUUUGGUCUUAGAGAUAGAGUUUAGAUUACGCUGAAAAAAAAUAGUAAUGAGCAAAACUAGGCCGAAAAUAAAAUGAACUUACCCAACAGCUUCCUUCUUCUUAUUGGGGGAGGUACUUAUCACAGUAACUUUUGCUCCAACAGCUUUGGCAAACUUCACGGCCAUAUGGCCAAGGCCACCAAGCCCCACCACACCCAAAUGCUUACCAGGCUCCAUCAGUCCAAAGUAUCUCAUAGGGCUGUAAACUGUGAUCCCAGCACACAGCAUUGGGGCAGUACCUUGUAGUGGAAGGUUUUUGGGGAUUUGAACGACGAAGUGCUCAUCGACUACUAUCUUGUCGGAGUAUCCACCGAAGGUUCUUGAUCCGUCUUCGUGGUGUUUGUUGUAGGUCCACACCAUUUUGGGGCAGUAGUUUUCCAGGUCCUGUGUACAGUUGUCGAAUGAGCGACAUGAACCCACCAUGCACCCAACUCCGGCUAUGUCUCCUACUUUGAAUUUUGUGACAUUGCGCCCCACCUUUGUCACUUCUCCUACAAUCUCGUGUCUGCAAAAUUUCGAUGAAAAUGCAUAUUAUUUUCCGAGUUAUUUUCAUGCCUUCUCAUUAUUUAUAGGGUGACAUUUGAGAUUAAACUCCAUGUACUAAGCUUAGUUGAACCAAUAAGUUAAAUAAUGUACCCUGGGACAAUGGGAUAUAUGGUCAUUCCCACUUCGUCCUUAGCGAGGUGAAGGUCUGAGUGGCAAAUUCCACAAUAGAGUAUCUUCAUGCUGAUAUCAUUAUCACCAUUACCUCUGCAAGUACCCCAAAAAAUAAAAAAACCACACAAGUUUGGUGAAGCCUAUAUCUUAAGCAUUAAUAAUUCAAAAUGAGGUCUAUAGUAAGAUUUAGCGAAAUGGUGUGGAAAGGAAAGAACAAGUAACUCAAAUACCUCCUGGUGAAGUGGAAGGGAGAAAGAACACCAGAGGAAUCUCUAGCUGCCCAUCCAUAGGCUUUCACUGCUUGUUCUUCGGCCCCUGUUAAUUCUUGAGACAUUAUUGUACCUUAAUCAAUAUUGUGUAUGAUCUGUAUGUGUACCUUGAGAGAAUUGAAAUGAGGCAGAGUGUUGUGGUGUCUUGGUUGGGGGUUUACGAAGAGAUAUGGUUGGGUAAGCUUCAAGAAAGAAAGUAAUGCACCAGUUGGCGGAAAUAUUAUAUCAUAUGCAUAUUUGAAACUGUGAGAAUCAGCAAUGACGUAGUGCGAUCGACUUGCCGGCCAUGUAUGAAUUUUCUGCUCCUACUUUUCAAACCAUUUUAAAAGUUUUUACCCCAUCCUCAAGCCAAAGAACAUGCGUUGACCAAAUCAACGGAGCCACCAAGACAAAAUUAUGUAAGGGGAGAAGAAAAACCACAAGUCUUAAUUGGAAGAGUCUUGCCUCUUGGAACAUAUUUGAUUACCUUAUGAAGAUAGAGGCAUCCACAGGGAGAGGAUUAAAUCGAGAGAGGAGAUCAGUUUAGGAGGAGAUCGGUUGGAGUGAAUCUCAUUUAUUUUUUUUAUCUGCUAAAAGUGUAACGUUGGAUUUAAUAUCUAGUUUGGAGAUUCUCUUAGUUUGUUGGCCUCUUGGAAUCGGUGGUGUAGAUGUCAUGUUGAUGUAUUUGAUUGUAUUAUUAAAGUUUAUCUAAUGAAAUUUCUGUUUGAUAAAAAAAAAAUUGUUGGAUCUGAUCUUAUUUCUAAAGGGGAUUAUUUAUAUACAUACACACAUAUGUUAUAACAUCAAUUUUUAAAGAUAUGUUAUGUAUAGGCAUAUAUAACUCUCUCAAUCUUGGUGAAAAUUGAUCCAACAAUUAUAUAUGCGAGCAUCUUUAAGAGAAUCUCCAAGGGAGAUGUCAAAUAUGAAACAUUAAAUUUGAAUUUGAUGGCUUAUGUUGUAAUUUGAUAUAUAAUAAAGUUUUACAUUCCACCUGAUAUCUCAAAUUAAAAUAUUAUUUUAUUAUAUGAGGAUUGAUUGAUUUAUUAUUUUCUAGUCAUAUUAAUUAAAAAUAAUAAUUAAAUAAUUAAAUAACAUCACAAAGUCAAACAUAAAAAAAAUUACAGCAGAAUGGAGACAUUAUUCCACUUUGAAUUUAAGGAGAUGCUUCAUCAUGAUUAUUUAUGGUUUUUGCCACAUCAAUGACAAAACGAUACUUAACGUCACCCUUGUCAAGUCGGUCAAGGGCAGUGUUCACAUAAUCCAUUGGAACAACUUCCACAUCUGCUGUGAUAUUGUGUUUUGCUGCAAAAUCUAUCAUCUCUUGUGUCUCUUUUAGUCCUCCCAUAGCACUACCCGCAAUAAGUUUCCUCCCUGUUUUUUUACCCACCAAAAAAAAAACAAACAAACAAACUCCCGAUAUCAAUUACAUCAAUUUGAAAUCACUAUUUUGUGAAAAAAAUAAUAAUAAUAAUAACCAAAUAACAAGAAAGCAGAAAAAAAUUAAUAAUAAUAAUAAGGGAAGGGAAAUUACGUACCCAUAAUUAUAGGAAAGACUGGUAGCUCAGGAGGCUGAAUUGGAGCACCCACCAAAAUUAGUUUUCCACUAGUCUUGAGCAAACCAAUCAAAGGCAAGAGAGGGUGAGGGGAUGAAACGGUGUCAAUGAUACCAUCCAUAGUUCCCAUGGCAGCCUAAAAAUAUUAUAUGAAAAUUAGUAUUAUACUGAACACAUUGGCUUUUUUUCUUUGCGCUUGAGGGCAAUGUAAACAAUUUUUUAAUAAAUAAAAAAACUUAUUAAUUACCUCUAGUUGCUCCUGAUCAUGACUGACCAAAAAAGAAUCAGCACCAAGCCUUUCCACUGCUUCCUUCUGCUUGCUUGGAGAAGAACUUACCACCGUGACCUUCACACCAAACGCUUUGGCAAACUUCACGGCCAUGUGACCUAGGCCGCCAAGCCCGACCACACCCAAGUGCGUGGUGGACUUCGAGAGGCCAAAAUGUUUCAGGGGGCUGUACACGGUAAUCCCGGCACACAACAAUGGGGCAGUACCAGCUAAUGCAAAACCAUUUGGGAUUAGGACUGCAUAGCGCUCCUCCACAACCAUGUUAUCAGAAUACCCACCAAAGGCUCUUGUCCCAUCUUCAUGCUGUCCUUGGAAGGUCCAUAACAUUUUGGGACAAUAAUUUUCCAAGUCUUGUUUGCAGUUAUCGCAUGAGCCACAUGAACCUACUAUGCACCCCACUCCGGCUAUAUCCCCAACUCUAAAUUUAGUGACAUUUUUCCCAGUUCUUGUCACUUGCCCCACAAUCUCAUGCCUACAAAAAUCAUCAAAAAAAGAAAAGAAAAAUUUAUUCAUUAAAUUUUACAAUAUAGUGUAAUCCAGCUUCAUCACCUGAAAAGAAAUUUUACCCGGGGACAGUUGGAUAGAGGGUCGGCCAUAUUUUGUUCUUGACCAGAUGAAUGUCUCCAUGGCAAAUUCCACAGUAGAGUAUCUUUACGGUGAUAUCAUCAUCGCUGUUAGCUCUGAACACAAAAGCAUGCAACGAUCGUCUUGUUAAGUAAAAAAUUAAGCUAGUUUUAGCGCAAAUACGAUAAACCAAAUUGCCCAUCGUAGAUAAAAGAUUUCGAGUCUCUCCAUCCAUUAACAAUUGGUUUUACGUACGUUGAUUAUGAAAAAAGAAAAAGUUUGAGUUACCUCCGAGUGAAGUGAAAGGGGGAGAGAACUCCCGAGGAAUCUCUAGCAGCCCAUCCAUAGGCAUUGACAGGUGAUUUUGCUUCAGAUGCUGCUUUAGUCAUUGGCCCUAUGUUGAGAGAUUGAUGAAAGACGUGAAAGCUAGCUCCAAUUUACCGAAGAUUAAAAGUUGUUUUGGAUUUGAGAUGAGUAUAUAUUUAUAGCAAUAAUUUCGCAGGAUUAGAAUGUAGAAGUAUAUGCAACAGAUGUGUUAAGCAAUGACGUUUUUUCUACCUACUUUUCAAAACCUUUACCUUCUUAUGAUGUGUAUGAGAGAUUCAAACUCCGAAAAUGGACUUAAGUGUUGGAUUUUGAUAUUUAUUUUAUUAUAAGAUUCAAACCUUUAUUAUUAGUUUAAAUAAUAAUAUGAAGAGUAAUAACUGUUGGAUUCAAAAGGACAGUAAUAAUCUUUUAUUAAAGAUUUUCGUGAAGUCAUGUCUCAUGUAAAUGAGAAAUUUUUGUAUCCUUGUAGUCUUCUCUUACUUUUCUUCUAUUAAUGGACAAUCUGAUAAACUCUUGGCAUCCCGGUUACAGUGCAUCUCUUGACAUCACAUGUCAGAUCUUUCUAGUUCGAUUUUUGUUUUAUAUAAUGGUUUAUAUUUUAUAUCAAUAAACAUUCACUGCAAACUGUAUCAUAAACAUGUCACGUGGCAAAACACUUAGGUCUUGCUCAUUAAUUUAACUCGAGAUAUAUCAUCGUCAUCAUUCUCAACACUUGACACAUAUCCAUGUAUAACCAUUGUUUUAUAAAUACAAAGUAAAAAAGUUAACUAUGGUUAUGCCUAUGGACAUAUGUCAAGUAUUAAAAAAUGUGAUAAUAAUACACCUUAGGUUAAAGCGGUGAACAAAAAUAUUUCAGUUUUGAGUUUAACUUGCUAAAACACCCAACCCUAGUACUCUUGGCAUCCCGAUUAUUGUGCCCAUUCUAAUAGCGUACCUCUUAAUUCUGAAAUUUAGAAAUUAGGGAGUAUCAAUAACAAAUCAGGAAGUUAACGACUUGCUUUAAAAUAAAUUAAAUACAAAAUAUGACGAUAGAUCGCAUAUAUUGUAAUUUAGUUAAUAAUAAUAGGGCAUAUUGAAAAUGGUACUCAGGUGACGAGGGGUAAUUUAAAUGACACAACCAGGACACAAUGACCUUCACACACUUUAGAACUUGACCAAGCACACUUAUGACUAGUCAACUGAUAGUCAUAAACAAUCACAAUCAAGAUUGCACACAAAUCAUGCCACAAGGUACCUGCAACACUAGAAGAUUACUAGUGACAACCUAGGCACUCAGAAGGACCCGUCAAUCUAGGCGUCCCCAGUGCUAGCAACAACUAUAGUGAAAGUGUGUGAAAUCAUCUUAAUCAAGUAAACAGCAAACAUCAGAUACAGCUAACUAGUCAACUACCAAGAACAUAAACCCAGAAAAAUUACAGAUAUGCAAAGCAGAAUUUGUUCACCCAGAAACCCACCAUUGGGAAAAACUGGGGGUCAUCAACCGACCAGGCAAUCCACUAAGUAGAAAAAGAUUCUUACAAAGGAAACACAAUCAAGCUCAAGAAACACCUAGGUCUAUUUAGGUAGAUGAGCAAUACCUCCUUCAUGCAAUCUUCUUCUCCAACUUAGCAAAGCUUGAAGCUCAGUUCAUCAUGGCAAUGGCAGCUCCUUCUCCAGCUCGUUCAUCCCAUGGCACUAGCUUACAAGCUCCAACUCAAACUGAAACCAGAAUUUGGAUUCAAAAGAGAAUGAACAAUUUCUUCAAGAAACCAUACUCUUGAAUAAAUCAAUCUUGAAUCUGACCUAGAUAUAUAUGAGAGUGUUUGAUCUAGCAAGAUGAGGUUUUCAUAUUUCAAAUGCAGUUUUCAAAAGGAAACAUUUUGGAAAACUCAAAGAUGAAAAAUAUGAAGGUUACACUUGAUGAAGAAGAGAAAGUUUACAAAGAAACUUUCCAAAACUUGCCUACAAAAGUGACGGCUCCAAAAGAGGAAAUUGAUAGCCUUUAAAGACAAAAAUUCCCUUAGGUCAGAAUACCCACAUGGCAGCAGAGAGAGAAAGGAGAAUAGGACAAAAAGGUUUGUUAUCCAGCUAGAAAUCCUACAGAGUAAGGAUGACUAGCCAUACGAGAAACAGAUGACUAGUCAUCAUUUUAUAAAAACAGUUUUAAUGCCAUGAUAUGCAAUGCAUACUUACCUUUGUCAAAUUGCUUGAAUCUUCAUAGGAUAGUUGUUAGUUAAGAACACCUAGAGAAGCUAUUCUUAAUCUAAGCUUGAGCUUGAUAAACAUAAUAAAAAUCCUAUUACAAAAUUGUCAAGGGAAGCCAAAAGAAAUAACUCAAAAUAAAUACAUUAACACAUAUAUAUCUUACAAGUUUGGGUUUUAGUUAGAUGUUUAAAAAUAUGUGAGUUUAUGUCUAGGAUAUAAAAGUUGCAGGGUAUCUAUGUAGAAAGCACACCAUAAAAAACAGAUGAACAAUUUCAUUUACGGCGUGCACUGAAUGCACGUCACACCAUAAAUACUGAUCUCAUACGGCGAGCGUUGAAUGCACUGUGUAAAUGAUGCGCCGUAAAUACUUAGUUUUCUUGUAGUGUAUGAGAAGAACCCAAGACGACACAUCGAAAUUGAUGGUUUAUUUCAAACACCGAAAAAAAAAUAAAGAAAUGAGCGUAUGUAAGUGAAUCGGGAAGGGAUGCUUGAGCACACAAAAAUAACCAAACAGCCAAGAUAAUUUUAUUCAACUAAAGAAGGGAACAUAUGCUUGAAAUAAGAGAUGACAAUCUAGGCUGGGUAGGGGGAGAUGACGAUCCAGGCUAGUGGGGGAGGAGCCCCCCUACCUAGCCAACUUAAGGAUCUUAGAUAAAAAUGUUAACUAAAUAAUAUUAUGCAAUAGGGUUGAAAGAAAAUCAACAUAAGCAAUGGCAAUGAUGAUGGUCGCCAAAUAGUUUGCAGAUGCCUCCUUUCUCACAACCUGAAGUGCAAAAUUUUCAGCAUUUUCCACCGUUUGGGUUGUCAUCCGCACCAGGGACACACUUUCCAAGUUCAGGAUGAUCAGUACAACACUUGGAACCUUCAACAGUUGCUAUCUUCCAAACUGAAAAUAAAAAAAAUAAAUAAAAACACUAUUAAUUAAUUCUUCAAAAAGAUUAUAAUCUUAGCGCGACAUGAACCAAAAAUAAAAAAAACAAAAUAGUAACAUUGACUUGUGCAAUAUAUAAAAUUAUAUUACAAAAUAUUUACGGAAAAAAUAAAUGUAAACAUGGGUUUAUGCACUUGAAUAAACCCUAGAUUCUUAGAUUAAUAGUAAUUAAAAUUGAUUCAAUAUGAGUUUUCUAUCGACUCAUACACUGAUAUGAUCAACCAAAAAGAAAAAAGAAAUAAUAAAAAACCCUAAUAGCUUGCAUGCAUGGACAUCUGUUUGACCAUAUAUAUAGGAGAUUGUAAAUACUUAAUUGAAAAGCCUAACUAAUAGGAAAAGAAUAAAAUAUAUAUGAUUGAAGAUCAUUGACAAGAGCACCAAAAUAAGGACGAAACAAGGGAUUGUAAAUUUGGCCAUCGUUUUUUUCUAGAAUUCACUUCACUUGUUCUGCUAAAAAGUUGAGACGAUGUGCGAUUUAUAUAGAGAAUCAAAAUAUAUAAUCAUAAAUAUAUAAUUACGUUCAAAAUAUAUAUGGUAUUUUUAGGGAAUUAAUUGACCUUAAUUACGUGGUUACAAAUGCUACAAAUAUAUAUAGCUGAGUUGACUUUUGAGAAUUAAGCCUAGUCUUCAAUCACGUCGGCUGCAAAACUAGGAAAUGAAACGCAUACUUUCUUUCUUUUAUAGGGUUUUUAUUAUUAUUUCAAAAUCAAUUAUCUUUCCUUUCAAGAUGCAUGCUAGUUAUUCCUCGUAGUAGUAUGAUACUUCUCCGUAGGAUAGGAUCAUUUUUGUUCUUGUAAUUUGCUUCACAAUAACGUUUCCGUUUCUUCUAUAAAAAGUAGAAAAAGAAAAUAGUACCAAAAUCAAGCAGAAAUUAUAUCUUUUCCAGCUCUUCUGGUACCAAAGAGGAUGAUGCUGCCGUCUAGCUUUUUCAAAUCCCAAACAACCAACUAUAAUUUCAACCAUUGAACAAGCUUUUUCAAAUCUCAAUUUGCAAUAUUGAUAAAUAGUUGUUUGGGAUUAUUGAAAAUUGAAAUUUUAAGAAUUUAUGUGUUUCGCAUCUAAAUGAGGAUUGGAUUGGCUCUAGUUUGGUUGUAUUUAUGUGUUCUGUAAUUUUCUUGCUCUGUUGCUUGUUAUUUUUGUUCUUCUUCUAGGAAUUUUUGCGAGUAUUUCAAAAUACAAAAAGAAAUUUUAUUACUUAAUUAUGUUGAAUUGAAUUUUCCAAAUGGUUUGGUUUGUUUAUCUAUUUAAAACUGAAAUUAUUUUAUGUAUUUAUUAUAUAUAUGAAUUUAUUAUAUUAUAUGUGUUAAUAUCUAUUUGAUUGGGUUUUAAUUUUGUGUUAUUGUUGUGGUCUUAUAAUUGCUUUUAAUAUCACAGUCCUGAUCUCUUGAACUACAGGAGUCCAAAAGAUUUGUGGUCACUCACCGUUGGAUGUAAAUUCACCGUUGGAUGUAAAUUUAACAGUUCACUCACUCUUGCACUCUUUUUAAGAAACUUUUUUGAACCAUUGGAUUAAUAUCUAACGGUGAGUGAUCACAAUCUCUUGAACUCCUGUGGUCCAAGAUAUCGAGACUCUUAAUAUCAUUUCCAUACCGUUGGCAUCUAAAUAUUUGAGUCCAAAAAUUACUUGUGUCAGUUUUGGUUGACCAAUUUCUGUUUUGCAUUUGCUAUAUUGGUUUUGCCAACUAACUUAAAAAUUUUAUAGCUAUUAAUUUCUGAAAAAUGGGCAGAACUUUUAAUGUUCUUUAUUACAAUUGGUUUAAUGCCUUUGAGAAGCAACCAACUAUAAAAAGCCUUAUUUUAGAGUAUGAGAAAAACGUUGGAGCAACAUUGGCACCUUUCUCCAAUUUGUUUUCUUUUAUCAGGAGAAAGAUUUGAGUUGUUUAUUCGAUCCAAGUACAUUGCGAGUGUAUACAUAUGAGGGUCAUAAGUUGUUGUAUUCAGGAGGGUAGGCCGCCAUACAACUUUGCUACAUCGAGGCAUUGUCUCUGAGGGGCAAAAUUUACAUUAAAAUCCAUAAUUUAAUAUAUGAAAAUCCAAGAAUUAGAUUGAUUAUGUGGUUUGGAUCAUUGAAAAAAAUUUCGUAGGGAACCUUAUAAAGUGUCCCUCAAAAGAAGGGGACUAUAUAUAUAUAGUUCUUUUGUAUCGGUGUGUAUUAUUGUUGAACUUUUUUUUGAGAUGUUUUUACUUGUAUUGAUAACAAAGCUAUAAUGCAACGUUUUCAUGAUUAGAAAAAUUAGUUGUGGUUAUAGCUUGUAUUGUGUUUAUACCACGUGACUAUAAUUACCCGAUGAUGACAGUAAAAUGAAAAAUUAAUACUUAAUAAUUACCUCUAGUUGCUCCUGAUUAUGACUGACCAAAAAAGAAUCAGCACCAAGCCUUUCCACUGCUUCUUUCUUCUUAAUGCAAAACCAUGGGGUAGUACCAGCUAAUGCAAAACCAUUUGGGAUUAGGAUUGCAUAGCGCUCUUCGACAACCAUGUUAUCUGAAUAUACCCACCAAAGGCUCUUGUCCCAUCUUCAUGAUGUCCAUUGAGGGUCCAUAACAUUUUGCAAUGUAUAUCAUUUCAAUAGAUUUACAAUCUUUUGUAUUGAUUGAUAUAUUAUUCCAAUAAAUUUGCAAUGUAAUUUUUUUUGGGUUCAAAGAGUAAAUAAUAAUAAAAGGUUGUGGGGGCUUUUUCUUUUCGGCAACUAUGGAUGGGUCUGGGUUGCUGUAAAGAGCAAAUAGAUGGAUCUGCCCUUGUGUCUGAGUUCAAGGAUGAGAGGUGAUGCUUGCUCUCUCUGGAUGAUGUGUGUUGUCACAUCCCGGGAUCGACUCCGCCGUAGCACGAUAUUGUCCGCUUUGAGCCACCCUCUCUGCCCUCACAGUUUUGUUUCUGGGAACUCACGAGCAACUUCUUAGUGGGUCACCCAUCUUGGAAUUGUUCUAGCCCCAACUCGCUUAACUUCGGAGUUCCCAUGACUCCAAAGCCAGUGAGCUCCUAAAAGGCCUCGUGCUAGAUGGAGGUGGGCAUUUACAUAUAAGGCACAUCACCCCCUCUCCGUUGGUUGAUGUGGGAUGUUACAAUCCACCCCCCUUAAUUAUCACAUCCUGAGAUCGACUCUGCCGGAGAACUAUAUUGUCCAUUUUGGGCCAUCCUCUCUACCCUCACGGUUAGUUUCUAGGAACUCAUGGGCAACUUCCUAGUGGGUCACCCAUUUUGGGAUUGCUCUAGCCCUAACUCGCUUAACUUCGGAGUUCCUAUGACUCCGAAGCUAGUGAACUCCCAAAAGGCCUCGUGCUAGAUGGAGGUGGGCAUUUACAAAUAAGGCACAUCACCCCUCUCCUUUGGUUGAUGUGGGAUGUUACAAUUUACCCCCCUUAAUUGUCACAUCUCGAUAUCGACUCUGCCGGAACACAAUAUUGUCUGUUUUGGGCCACCUUCUCUGCCCUCACGGUUUUGUUUUUGGGAACUCACGGGCAACUUCCCAAUGGGUCACCCAUCCUGGGAUUGCUCUAGCCCCAACUCCCUUAACUUCGGAGUUCCCAUGACUCCGAAGCUAAUAACUCCCAAAAGGCCUCGUGCUAGAUGGAGGUGGGCAUUUACAUAUAAAGCACAUCACCCCAUCUCGUGCUAGAUGAAGGUGGCCAUUUACAUAUAAGGCACAUCACCCCAUCUCCGUUGGUUGAUGUGGGAUUUUACAAUCCACCCCCUUAAUUGUCACAUCUUGAGAUCAGCUCUGCCAAAGCACGAUAUUAUCCGUUUUAGGCCACCCUCUCUGCCCUCACGGUUUUGUUUCUGGGAACUCACGGACAACUUCCCAGUGGGUCACCCAUCCUGGAAUUGCUCUAGCCCAACUCACUUAACUUCAGAGUUCUUAUGACUCCGAAGUUAGUGAGCUCCCAAAAGGCCUCGUGCUAGCUAGAGGUGAGCAUGUACAUAUAAGGCACAUUACCCCCUCUCCGUUGGUCGAUGUGGGAUGUUACAUGUGUGAUGAUAGGUAGGAGAUGCCCUUUUUUUAUAGGGGUUGGAAGCUCCUUCUUCCCAAGAAACCCUAGCUGGUUCCUCCCCAAUCUGCCAAGUCUUCUCUUCCCUUUCUCUUUUCCUCCUUCGAUUCAUCCUCAUUUUUGUGAAAUCCUUCUCAGUCCAAACACACAUAGACAAGAUUUUUGGGAGCUCUAGAGCCUUCAUGCAGCUGUUCCAGUGGCUAUCUCCUAUCUUUGGCUAUUACCUUACCUUCUUUCCUCCCAUAUUUCAUGGCAAGAGCUAGUGGGAGAAAUAAAAUGGGUAAGGGCGUUGGUCUAAAUGGUGCUUUUUCUCCUAACAACCUGCGCGCGCUAAUAUCCUUUGGUUUUUUGAAUGAUCUACCUUGAGGUUUGCUUUGGCCACGUGUUGGAGUCUCCCAGCCGUCUACAUAUAUGGGCAACCCUUGGACCUUGUCGUGGUUUUGGUCUCCAGCCACGUGCUGGAGACUUUCAGAUAUUUUCUUGGUCAUAUGGGCAUUCUUAGGGUGAUGGGUUAGUCUACUAAGGGAAUGUGCCAACUUCUUAAAGUGAUGGACAAUUUUUAUUAAGGUGAUUAACCAAUUUUCUAAAGUAAUGGACUACCUUUUUGUGUCUUUUAUGCUUACCCACAUAUUUGGGCUCAAGAAAUGAGCUCGAGUUUUGGGGCUCCCAAGUAGCCCAAAACUUCCAUUUCUUGGCUCAUCAAUGGGCCUCAUGAAUGCUCAUUACCAUCCAUACCACAACCCACUUAGCAAUCCCAGAGCAUUUGCGUGGCUUGGGCCCACUUAAGUUUGUAGCGUGGCUAAGUGUAAAAUAAAGGGUUUUUCGCUUUGCAUGACAUGUCGAUUGGUGUGCUCAUGCUCGAAUUUCAUCGUAUUGUAAAGGACUAUGGUCGAGUCAAAACGGCGCUUGGCGGAAUAAUUAGCAUGGGUUCAUAAAGCCGGUGCAUUUUAUAGGCUUGCUACAACUCUUAGCGUGACAAGUUACACAUUUGCUUGGUGUGGCACGUCGAUCGUGACUCGUGCCAGAGUGUAUGACGAACUUUCGUGAGCCCAAAUCAGAUUUCUUCUUAGUAAGGUAUCGCAUUAGGCCGGGAAUAUAUUUGUACCUAGCUUUGGAUUUUUUGGGCCUCAACAAAGGUAAAUUGCCAUAGAAAAAGGUGAGUAGCAUAACUUAUACUUUAGGGACAUUGCAAGUCAAAAGUUCUUAUCUCGAUAGUUAAUAAAUUUCACCAGCCUUGUCUAUAAUUUUUACCCGGGGACAGUAGGAUAGAGGGUCGGCCAUACUCUAUUCUUGACCAGAUGAAUGUCUCCAUGGCAAAUUGCAAGAGUAGAGUAUCUUUAUGGUGAUAUCAUUAUUACCGUUAGCCCUGUACACAAAAUACGCAACAAUCCUCAUAUAUCAGAAAUUACAAGUCAUGCAUAAUACAUAGUUUAAAAGAUUUUGAGCCUCUCCAUUUAUUAGCAAUUGGUUUUAUCUUAUGUAGUUGAAUGUCAAAAAAAAAAACGAAGAGGUUGAAUUUAUUACCUCCUACUGAAGUUAAAGGGGGAGAGAACUCCUGAGGAAUCUAUAGCAGCCCAUCCGUAGGCAUUGACAGGUUGUUUUGCUUCAGCUGCUGCUUUAGACAUUGUCCCUAGCUCCAAUUUUCCGAAGAUAUCAAGUUGUUUUUUAUUUGAGAUGAUGACAUGCAUAUAUUUACAGAAUGAAAGAUCGAUACAUCUUCAAUGAAAUCAUAUUAUUUUUUGAGCUAAGAACUAGUACAAAGAUUAGGUCAAAAUGGACUCUUUUACCAAACUGUCGGCAAUAAUUGGCCAAAUUCUGAUACAAAUGUUUCAGUUUUUUUUUUUUGGUUUGUUAAAAUAAUAAUAACGAGUGCAAUAUGUUAAAAUCAAGGUGAGACGGUUUAUAGUUAGCUUGUAAGUUUCAUUAGACGUGAGUUAGGCCAGUUGAUGAAUGCAGUAAACCUAUUCCUUUGCACUCAACUUUAAUUUAGAAUAGUCUAGCGCUUGUAUUUAAAGUAAAAUAAAAACCACUUAAGUUUAAUGCAAAUUGCUACUAGGUCCAGAUGCUUCUACAAUUUGGUUUGUUUCAUUUGUCAAAAGCAGCCCAUAUGGAAGAUGCCAGUCCAAGACGCUGCGUUUUGCGUGCUGUUUUAUUUUGUCGCAAAGUGCCACGGAACGGAAGAGAGGCUGGGUGAGCCUUCUAAUUUAAAGCUGCUACUACCACAAUUAAUUAAUUUUCCGUUUGGUUCCACGGAAAGAAACUAAAGCAAAAUUUAGAAAACCAAUUAUAAUAAACCAAAACUAUGGUUUUGACGCCUGUUUAUGAUUCACUUAUGUAUAUUCUUAAUGCUUCUUUCAUUGUUUGUUCAUAUAUGUAUCUAUGCAUUUGUAUUUCAGUUGUUAUUAUGACCUACUCUUGCUAGUUCUGUGUGAAAAUUGUCGUGUGGUUACAAUGCACACCAACUGUUCGAUGAAAAGAACUUCUAUAACAACACUAGGAUACAUGCAUGCAUGGUAUAAUUGAAUGGAAGUACGGUAUAUUGGAAAAUAGAAUUCCUUUUUUAAAAAAACCCUUUUGAAAGUAAUGAAAUCCUAAUCCCUGGAUAAGAUAAAUGCUCUGAGUUAUCAAGGGUAAAAGCAGCAGCAUUCUUGUUGAAAAUGGACUCUGCGUCUGUUAACAUGAAACAUUUUGUUCCUUUAGAUAUUGGUUAAAGUUAAUUAUUACAUUUCAUAAUCUUCAUUCCCCUGUUAUUUAGGUGCUCUGAUUGAGAUUGGUAGAGGGUGUUUCUGCAGCCAUGUCUGCGACCAAGAUUCGGACAAGUUGCUUCUCUCCCAACUUUGUAGCUGCAAACUCACCUCAAUUCCCUGGACUCAUGCGUGGUCCUAAUGGCACAAUGUUCAUUUCAUCUGGGAUACUGGAACUUGACAGUAAUCUUCUAUCACUAAUAGUUUAUCGGCAAUAGUUAAACCAAGCUGAGGUGAUUAAAUUGGAUUUUGUUUUUUUAAAAUUAUUGUACCCUUUUAUUUAUUUUAUUUGUAGAAGUUUUAUAAGGUUGUCUUUGGUUUGUAGAGAUUUUAGGUGAUGGAAGAUGCAGAAGUUUCUCAUCAUAUGCUUUUGAUUAGAAAUUUUAUGUCUCAAGGACUCGUUCACAACCAACCCCUUCUCUGUGCAAGCCCAUCCAAGGACCCAAGACAGUUUCUCGGUACUUUGCCUUGUCCAGCUUUACCCAAAGAUGAUAAGUCUAGUCAUCGAGAUCCUGAUCAGGUUGUUCUCUUCUUCCAUUCUUCUCUCCAUGUAUUUGUUCAAUAAUUCUGUUUGUAGGUGAACAUUAGGAAAUUUAUAAUUUCUUUUAUUAAUUUUCAGGAGAAAGGGUUGAGAAUAGCUUGGCAAUAUAAGAAGUAUUUUUGGGAAAAUCAGCAGAGUUUUGAUAGUCAAGGUGGCAAGUUUGUCCUUAUUUUAUUUAGUAUGAGAUAUGCCUCCUUCGCUCAUCAUAACUAGUUUAGAUUUCAAGAGCGGUUUGUUAUGUUGUCGUUGUCCAAAUAGAAAACAUGAGUUCUGCAACGAAUUUGAUUUUGGGAAGCCAUUGGAGAGGUAAUUUCUAAGCGGGACGCGUAUUGAUUGGUUUAGCAUUCAAAGAGUCUCCAAAUCUUGUUGCCCUUCAUGACCAUUGCGCCACAUUUUAAUCUCAAUUUCCAAGGUAUGCUACUGUUGUCUUAUGUUUUCCUGCCUAGAGAUAUACUUAUAGGAUGUGACAUAUCUGGUUAGUAAAAUUAUAUGCAUGCCAAUUGGUUUUUCACAAUGUCAAACUAGCUUUGUUCAUUGUGGAGACGAAUUUUCAGUGAUUCUAUGUCAUGUUUAUGCGUGUGUACGUGUAUUUUAUGGUGGGACCAGUACAGAUUUCAUGAAAUUGAAUGUCUUUGGUAUUCAUUUUUGCAGCUUGUGCGAGGAAAUGAAACAAUUACAUUUAACCUUUUAUUUCUAAGAACUGUUUAUAACCUCUUUGAUCUUAAAAAAUCAAAUGAGAUUGCGGCCGGAUGUUGUAAUUCUCUUAGUUUCUUUUCUGUUUUUUUAAUGGUUCUUGUAUAUUUUAAGAAAAUCUGAAUUUGAGUCCUCAAGAGUUGUCAUUAAGACUCCACUACUUGGCGUGUAAUGAAACUAAUAAUCCAUAAGGUAUUUUUGGUGGCCAUGGUCAUAUGGUUUGUUUUCCUUUUUUUCUUCCUUUUCGUCUCUUUUUCUCUUUUUAAGUUUGAUCAUACAUUAUCUCCUUCUUUUGGCUGAAAAUACAGAACUGAUGACAGCAUUUCUUCUGUUGGUCGUAUUGCAAUUCAAUCAUUCUGUGUUCCACAAUGUGAAUAUUCCAACAUGGUUAGUGGAAAUUGUUAUUUGCUCUUCAACUUUAUAUUUGAUUUAGCCUCUGAGUCACAACUGCUUCUUGUUUCCCUUGCUUCAGUUUUGUUGUUAGGGCUCUGAAUAACUUCUCAUUUCAUUGCUGUUGGUCAAAGCAAUUCCAGGUUAAUAUCAGCUUUAACAUUUGUUUUUGUGCUAUCGAAUAUUUUGACAAUAAUAAUCUAUAAAGAAACAUUCAUUCAGACGGGGACAAGGAAUUGGAAAAGCUCCUUAACGGUAACAUGGUUGGCCUUCUCAAUGUGCACAAAGUUGCACGUAUUAAUACACAGGUAAUGUAAAACUGUACUUCACCCAUAUGAAUCAAAUUUUCCGUCUCUCUUUUUUCGUUGGAUGAAGUUAGCAUGUGAACUUGCCAUGAAUGUGUAAACAUGCACCUGCAUGACCCACCUUUUCACUUAGUCAUCCUUAGAACACCUUUGGUACUAUAGCUUUUUCUGCUAAUAUUUCCAUUACUAUGAACUUUUGGUUGAUUGUUAUUCAUAAUUUCUAAUGCGUCAUCAGGUUCAUGUGAUUCUUGAGUCAACAACCUUCUCAAUAAAUUUGAAAAAGCGGAGGUUUAUGGUUUUAGAAUGUCUAAACCAAGUCCCUAUCGAUGGUUCAAGUGGAAGUUCGUAUGGCACUUCUAGUAGUUGUUCUGUGUCCUCUAAAACUGGGACGCUUGAUUUUUAGCUCUCAACUUAUGACAUUCAUUUUAGAAAUGUCAUCGAUAAGAAAUGUCAUCUGGGAAUCAUCCAUCAGCCAUGAUUGCAUAUAACUCUCUGUGUGUUUCUACAAGAUGUUUGAUGAAGCAGUAGGAACAAUUAGAAUAUAGGAAGUUUUUAUUUCCCAAAUAAAAGUACGAAAACAAGGUGUUUGCUUUUCUCUAAUUUAAUACACCGCCGUUAUGCAUUAUUUACAUCUCUCUCUCUCUCAAAAAAUUAAGAUGUAGACUUUAGUGUGUUUCCAAUAUCGAUUACAAAUCGAUAUUUGACAUCGGAUUUGGCAAGACGUUCCAUGGCAGUGUUCAAAUAAUCAACCGGGAUAACCUCAAUGUCAGCUGUAAUGUUGUGCUUGACUGCAAAAUCUACCAUCUCUUGUGUUUCCUUCAUACCUCCAAUCCGACUCCCAGCUACCAUCUUCCUGCCUGUAAUUGCACCACGUGCAAAGGGUAAGACAAAAAAUAUCAACAGGUAAAAGGCAGUCAACUUGUCAUUCGGAGUCAAGAUAGAUGCUUACCCAUGAGCAAAGAAAAAGCUGGAAUCUGAAUAUUUUUCUCUGGUGCAGUAACCAUCACAAGCUUUCCAUUGGACUUUAACAAACCAAUUAAAGGCAAAAGAGGAUGGGCGGCAAAAACCGUAUCAAUGAUACCAUCCAUUGUUCCCAUGGCAGCCUACAAAUUACCAAACAACUAAAUCAAUCUGCUGAAAUAAAGUCAUCAUCACCAUGGCAACUUGUUCAAACAAUCACCUGCAUCUGAUCUUGAUCAUGGAUAACUAUAAACGAAUCGGCAUGAAGAUGUUCAAUUGCUUCCUUCUCCUUAUUAGGGGAGGUGCUGAUCACUGUAACCUUCACCCCCAUGGCCUUGGCAAACUUCACCGCCAAGUGCCCUACUCCACCUAGGCCAACCACACCCACAUGCAUUCCAGGUUUGUCUAGUUCAAAAUAUCUCAAGGGGCUAUAAGUUGUAAUCCCGGCACAGAAGAGAGGAGCAGCACCAUCAAGGGGAAGGUUGUCCGGAAUACGAACUGUGAAGUGCUCAUCGACCACCAUGAAGUCGGAGUAGCCUCCAUAUGUUAUGGUUCCGUCGUGGUACUUUUCACCAUAGGUGAGUAUCAGUUCGGGGCAGUAAUUCUCGAAAUUAUUGGCACAACUAUCACAAGAUUGGCAAGAUCCCACCAUGCAUCCAACACCUACCUUGUCUCCAACUUUGAAUUUUUCUACUUUGCUUCCUAGCUCUGUCACUACACCAACAACCUCAUACCUGAAUUCAAUCAGUCAGUUCCACAUUUGGUUAGUUAAAUGGACAUCACAAUGAAUUCCACAUACUAAGUUCAAUAACAUAAAAAUAAUGGUAAAAAAUGUUGUUCUGUUGACAUUCAAACCAUUAAUUUCGAUGGAUAUCAACAUGAGAUGAAAGUAAUUAACUAUUAGUCUAAUGAUAUUUCUUCUUUCAGUGUCAGAAGAGGUUGGACCUCACUUCCACGUCGUUUAUCGAGAUUCCCAAAAAAUAAAAUUAGUAUAUUUGUGAGACUUUGUAUACGUACCCAGGAACAAUAGGAUAGCUAGUGGUCCCCCAUUCAUUUUUGACCUUGUGAAGGUCCGAAUGGCAUAUCCCACAGUACAAAACUCUUAAAGCCACGUCUUUCUCUCCCGUUUUCCUGCAACCAAAUACCUUCAAAAACUGAGUUCAUUGGAAGGAAAGAUUGUACCAAACACAAAAUAAAGCAUGGAGCUUAUACGAGUUCAAUAUAAUAUUUUGUUUUAAUUUUUGAAGAAACCAAAGAAAGACUGGUAUUCCUAGAGUGAAAAGAAAACGGCAAAUAAAUAACAGGGGAGAAGAUAUAGAAUAUAUAACAACCUUCUUGAGAUUUUGAAGGGAGAGAGAACGCCAGAAGAAUCUGUGGCAGCCCAUGCAAAGGCCUUAUUUGGGUGUUCUUGCUCUGGAGAUACCAUUUCCAUGAUCUCCCUCUUACAAUAUAAUAUACAGUGAGAGUCUGAGGUGGGUAGAGAAGAGAUUGUGAAAGUAGCAAUUGCGAUGUUGUUCAUAUAUAUAUAUAUAUAUAUAUAUAUAUAUAUAUAUAUAUAUAUAAGGAGAGAGGGAGGGGGGGCCUACCUACCUCAAUUUGGAUAGGGACUCGUCCAAAGUAAACUGCUUUCAUGACGCAUUGGGUGAGCUAAGGAUGAUAAGUCAAGAGAUUAAUUAGACCAGAAGAAAAACUCCUCACCAAAUUUAAGAAGACAUAUUUUAAUGUUUUGGCAACUCUUUUUAAGAAGACAAAUUUUACUCGUCAAAACCCUUGUGGCGAGGCAAAUGUGAGUUUCCUUCCAAUUUUCUUCUCCCUUGUGUUAAUCGUCGUCGAUCAUGUUGUUGCCAUGAUAAAUAGUUUUGAAUGAUAAAAUGAAUGUUCAUUAUUGAAAAGUCCUAAUAAGAUCUGUUCAUCUAAUAAAUCACCUUUUAAAAAUCAUGAAUCAUCAUUUAACGAUCAUCUCUUCAAAAAAUCACUCGUACCUCAUCCGAAAAUUUGAUUCCAAGAUUCACACACCAUUCCAUUUUAUUUAAGAUCCAUUCUGUCACAUAUGCUGACAGACCGUCUGAUAUGUUUACACAACAGCCACAAACGACCACAAAAUCGAACUUUUAAUUUCGAUUGCAUGAGUCAGGAGGCUUCAAUGUAUUUCCAACGUCGAUAACAAAUCGGUAUCUGACGUCCGCUUUCGCGAGGCGCUCCAUAGCAGUGUUCACAUAGUCAAUAGGUAUAACCUCAACCUCGGCUGUUAUGUUGUGCUUGGCUGCAAAAUCAAUCAUCUCUUGUGUCUCCUUGACACCUCCAAUGUUGCUACCACCUACCAUCUUUCUUCCUAUAAUUGCAAAAUAAUGUUAAUACACACUCAUCAAAUUCUCUCAAUCAAAAUAUAGCUUUCUUUUGUCUAAUCCAAUGUUUGAACUUUGAAGAGAGUUACGCCAUUUAUAUGCGCCUUACCCAUUAGCAAAGGAAAAACAGGAAGCUCAUGGGGCUUCUCUGGUGCACCAAGCACCACAAGUUUUCCGUUAGUCUUCAACAAACGAAUCAAAGGCAAGAUAGGGUGAACUGCAGAAACCGUGUCGAUUAUACCAUCCAUUGUGCCCAUGGCUGCCUACAAAAUUAAGGUGACAAAAUAUUAGAUCAUCCUCCUAUAUACAUAAAUGAAAGUCAUUAAUGCAACUUGACAAUACCAGCAUCUGAUCUUGUUCGCGGCUGACCAAAAACGAAUCGGCUUUUAGACGUUUAAUAGCUUCCUCCUUCUUACUAGGGGAGGUACUAAUCGCUGUAACCCUAACCCCCAUAGCCUUGGCAAAUUUCACUGCCACAUGGCCUAGACCACCAAGGCCAACCACACCGACAUGCAUGCCGGGUUUGUCGAGGCCAUAAUAUCUCAACGGGCUGUAGGUUGUAAUCCCGGCACAAAGGAGAGGAGCAGCACCCUCAAGAGGCAGCUUAUCCGGAAUACGAAUCACGAAGUGCUCAUCGGCCACCAUGAUGUCGUAGUAACCUCCAUACGUGGUGGAAUUCCGUCGUGAUACUUGGCACCAUAGGUGAGUAUAAGUCCGGGGCAGUAGUUCUCAAGAUUGUUUGCACACUUAUCACAAGAUUGGCAAGAUCCCACCAGGCACUCAACACCUACCUUGUCUCCAACUUCGUAUUUUUGCACUCUACUUCCUACCUCUGUCACUACUCCAACAAUCUCAUGCCUGAUUUCCCAUUUAAAUUGAGAUAACAUUUGAUUAAUUACAUGGCUAGCAUAAUCAGAUAUCAAAGUUGAUUAGCAUAACCAUGUGCAGAGUAUGUAGCAAAGUGUGUAUGUACCCGGGAACUAGGGGAUAGGUAGUAAUCUCCCAUUCCAAAUAAAAAACAAAAAACCAAUAUAUCCAAGAUUGAAAUGAAAAUGUAAAUAAAAUGAAACAAGAUUUGAAGGAGAAUAUAACCUUCUGGAGAAAUUGAAGGGAGAGAGAACACCAGAUGAAUCUCUGGCUGCCCAUCCAAAGGCCUUCAUGGGGUGUUGCUGCUCUUGAGACUUGGCCAUAUUUUUUUUCCUCUUACACUUAAACCACACACCGACUAUAUGUUAGUGUUAAUCAGUAUAUAUAAUGGAUGUAGUGACCGAGUGACAGUCUGAGAAGCAGCAGUAUUCCCAAGUGGCAGUAUGAGGGAGUUUAUGCGCUGUCUGUAUAGAGAGGAUGCGGCAGCAGGGUUUGGUGCAUGCUGCUGAGCUGACGCAUUUUUGGUGAAAAACAACAAUGGCAACAGGAAAUUAUCAGAAAUUUCCAUGAAAGAGAAAGCUGUUGUUGAUAGCCAUGUCAGAAUGAUUGUGAGUAGAGAAUGCCACGUUAGAGCACUUCCUGUUGGAAUUUUAAAAGGUUUUAAAAAUUUAACCGUUUUAUUUAUUUAAUUAUUUUGGCGGUUUUAUUUUAUUUAUUGUGGGGGUUAUAAAUAUUUAAUAUUUAGGUUUUAUUUCUGGUUGGUGAAUGCCUUAAUUUUUUGGUUGGUGAAGUUUUAUGGUUGGUGAAGGUUACAUGUUUUUGGAUGCCUAUAAAAGGCCACUCCUCCUUCACAUUUGACACACACAAAAACACACAAUAACACACGAUAUAUACAAUACACUAUCAGAAUAUCACAUACACAUUCUAAUUCUCUCCUUUUCUACUUUUACAUAUAUUCUCUACUUUAUUAUUAUUAUUUUGGGCAAUGGUUAUGUGACUUGGAUACCUAUAUCUGUCUGUGAACGUGCUCAUAGCGGAUCUUGAGUUUGUGUACAAGGGGUCGUAUCUUGGAGUCUUGUAGACCGUCAGUACCUGCACGUAGGGAGGCUACAAAGGCUUUAGGACAGCGUCUUUGACGUGCUUCACCGUACCAAACUCACCUUCUUACUUAUUAUUUAUUUUCCUUUUACUUACCUAUUAUUUUGUUUUCUUUUUAUUAUACCUUCAAAGCUUUCCAAUUUGUUUAUAUGUUAUUUAUAAUAUAAAUGUUUUGUAUUUGGCUUUACGGAAAGAGGAAAACUAUUAUUUUUUAUAACAAUCUAAAGCCUUUGUAUGUUAAAGUUGUUUUCUUCCCGUAUUGCUAGCUUUAAUAUAUUUUAACUCUUUGACUGAAGCUUUUACAUUUGUAUUGGAUUUUCAAAAUGAAAAUUAUGAUUUAUUUUGGGUAGAUGCAGUUUGAAGCUUUUAUGUUGUCUAUACAAUUUCAACUGCUUUAAAUAUUGUUGGUACAUUUAUAUGUUUAUAAUUUGUUGCUAACGUUUGGGAAAUUACUGCUAGUGUUUGACAAUAAAACCUACAGACUAACUUAUGUGGUAUUAUUAUUAUAGCUCAACGUAUUAUUAUUUUAUGUGGUGUGUCCGUUUUCUAAGUUACUGUUUUUUUUUAAAUAGCUUGUAUUGUUUUAUUACCGAUUAAUUAAUUAUUACUCAUUAAUCAAUUUACGUUGAAACAUCCAAUAUUGAAUGGUUGAAGUGUUUAAAACCGAAAUGUUGAAGUGUUUCAAAAUCUUUGUUCUUUUUUUUUUUUUUCCUUUUAAUUGAAAUUUCAAAGCAAGUAUAUAUAUAUUUUUAGAACAAGUAUAUAUAUUUGAUUUUAUUGUGUUGGGCCUUUUUACAUUUGCCUUCAUUCAUUUUGGUUGCCAUCAAUCUUCUUUUAUAUAACGGUCCCUUAUAUUUUUUUGUUGGACUUAAUAUCAUUUUAUUGUUCUUACUUUUGGAAGUCCUUCAUACCAACGUAAGAAGUAAUUAUAAUAUAUUCUUAGCACUAAAGUUUAGUGUUUGAAAUUACUGUUUUAAUGUUGGGUUUCUAUGCACUAUCUUUAUGUGGUUUAAUGAAUUAUGAAUUAAUAUUGAACAGACAAUUUAGUUUUCCUUUUAUGAAGAUAAAUUUGAUUUGAAUAUUCAAUUGUUGCAUCUUUGCAAAUCUGUGUAGUAUACUACUUACUUUGGUUUCAAAUUCUUGAAAGAAAAAAGGUGCAAACAGUUCUUUUGUAGUUUAAUUUUGAAUUCAAAAUCUAAUAUUACGUCAGUUUUAGAUUUGGGCUAUUUGUGUAUUCAAUUUUAUAAUUGAUUCUUAUUUUCAUUUAUAUCUACUAAUUUUGCGAAAACAUGCAGAGAGUUUAUGUGACAUUCUUGCAAGUUUUAUUGAGCCUAAUUAUUCUUUAUUUUGAUGGCUGUCAUUACUUUGAAUUUGGGAGAAAAACCUACGGUUUUUUUUUGGUAGUAUAAAUGCAUCACUGUAACACCUUGGACGUUAGCUUCUUUUGAUUCCAGAAUUAGUUAAUUGCUCUUAACUUCUUUUGGAAGCUUGUGCAUUUCACAUUCAAUUACGAGAUUUUAUUUACUUUUAAUUUAUGCAGCUUUAGUUUCAAAACUUUAAUGUCAAUUUCAUGACAUUUAGAGCUUUUAUUUUGGCAGUAAAAUUGUUGAUAUUGUUAGGUGAUUAUUGCCUUUAAUGUUUUGAACAUUUAUGCAAUUUAAUUACAUCUUUGUUUUAAUGCCUUGGAUUCCUUUUAAAGUAGUUGCCAACGCCUAUAUAUUUUGAUUGUGCAAUCCUUCAUAUUAGUUUCUUGAGUUAAUCUAAUGUUCUUUUGAUUAUAAAGUCUUGACAGCUGCCACAUUGAGUUAAUUGACAUGAAGUGUACAUUGUGGAAUUCUCCUGAGAAAACUGAAAUGAAAUAAUAAAUUAUAUCAUUGUAAGUGGCUUUAAUUUUGAGUUUUGGUGUAAGGCUUUCAAACCCUAAAUUUUUGAGGCAUUUUUUUCUUUUGAGGCUUUCGAUGGUUUUGUUAUAUUUACAGUGACUAUCAAAAUGACUGUGAGUACAUAUCUUAUGAAUUUAAAAUUAGAUCAAUUUUGGUACCGUCUUCAUAUAUUUUGAGAAUUCCCUAAUUUGUGGGGGUUGAGUUUUUCCUUAAGUAUGUGGGUAUUUGUUGGAAUUUUUGUGGGUAUUUCAAAUACAAAAUUAAUAUCAAUACUUAUUUUUUUAAAUUUAAUAUUCCAGUUUUUGAGUGAUUUGAUUACCUCUUUAAAACUAAAGUUAUUUUGUACAUUUAUUAUAUAAGUUUUCAUAUCUCCUUUAUUCAGAUUUAUUCUAUUUUAAUUAGCGCUAAAAUGCUUAUGUUAUUUGUGUUUUGAUAAUUAUUAAUAUAUUUUUUUUAAAACGUGUGGACCAAUUUGUGGAAGUUGAAUUUUCCUAAAUGGGAACUUUAGUACUGUAAUUUAAUUUGUUAGUAACAUUAAGCAAUUUUUGCUUUUAUACUGAAAAAUAUUAGAUUCAUUUCCUUCUCUCUUUCCCAUAAUUUUGUGUGCUUUCAAUUUCUUUAUGUUCUAAUGGGAAAGAUUCAUUAUAUUCAUUUAGUGACAUAAUAAUUUCUAUAUUUCCUUGGCAAACAUAUUGUGUCUGUAUGAAAUUUGUUUCAUUAUACAAGUUUUUUAUGAGACUAAUUUAUCUUCAAUUUGAUAUGAAAAUAUUUGCAACUAAUGCUGAUUUUGGCAUAAAAUUUUGGUAGAGACUUCUUAUUGUCUUAUAGGUUCAUAUUGAGAAUCGAUAAGAUACAAUUUCAACUUGGAUAUGUGAUCAUGAUUUCAGCCAUUUGGAGUGCACAAAAGGGAGUAAGGGUAUCCUGAAAUACUCAGUGUUUAUAGUUAAAUUUAUUUAAUGAAUUAAUUGUUAUAUUGUUGUUCAUAAGUGGUAGCAGGUGUACUCAAAGUUUCAUGGACUUGAGAGGUACUCUUGAUCAGAAGAUUUAAUGUAUGAUGUAUUUCCAUUAUACUUAACUGUAUGCCAAUGCGUAUUUAAUUUACAAUUAUACUGAGGUGAAAUCCAUUAAUUAUUUGUGUGCAAGAUUGUGUAGGAAAUAUUUUAAUAACAUGCAGGUUUAAAGCGCGCUAAAAUGGAGAACAAAGACAUGACCUACAUUAUAUAUGCCUUGUGAAGGCUAGUUUUGAUAUGCAUGCCUUGUGGAGGAGGUUAUUAAUGCAAAAUGUCGAGGGGGAUGUGCUUAAGCCCAUAAGGGAGUCACCUAGGGAGGUAACCCAACUUCUGUGAUUGGAGAUCCCAUGAAGGAAGUUCAAUGUGGUAGAAACAAUCCAUACUGCGUGACUCAUAUAGCACUCAUAAAACUAUGGAGAUAUCCUUGAGAUAUUCUUCUGCUCAUCCCUAAGGCAAAAGUGCUAUUUUAUGUGACGUCAGGAAGGGAUUUAUCCCUGAAUGAGUUUCGAGGCGGGUAAACUCCCGCAGGGUGCAGGUCACAUGUACUCUUGGAGAACUCACCUAAGUGAGGGACGUCGUGAGGCCGCGACUAUGAGAAUUGGGCUAUUCUCUAGUAACUCUCAUGAGAAUCAAGAUUAGCGCAUGGCCAUAAAUAGCGCUACCCCGCAUCCAAGUCUCAACUAAUACUAUGUGUGGGAUAUGUUGAAGUUUGGUCAAAGGUGCCGAGUUCAAUACUGUGUACACUCAGGUUCCUCAAAUGGAGACUAUCAUCACUAAGUGAAGGUUCAAGCCCGGAAGGCACCUACACCUAUUACAUAGUAUUAUAUUGCCCAUAUAUAUAUUAUAUAUUUUUCACUGGUGGGGGAUUGUUGGAAUUUUAAAAGGUUUUAAAAAUUUAACCGUUUUAUUUAUUUAAUUAUUUUGGCGGUUUUAUUUUAUUUAUUGUGGGGGUUAUAAAUAUUUAAUAUUUAGGUUUUAUUUCUGGUUGGUGAAUGCCUUAAUUUUUUGGUUGGUGAAGUUUUAUGGUUGGUGAAGGUUACAUGUUUUUGGAUGCCUAUAAAAGGCCACUCCUCCUUCACAUUUGACACACACAAAAACACACAAUAACACACGAUAUAUACAAUACACUAUCAGAAUAUCACAUACACAUUCUAAUUCUCUCCUUUUCUACUUUUACAUAUAUUCUCUACUUUAUUAUUAUUAUUUUGGGCAAUGGUUAUGUGACUUGGAUACCUAUAUCUGUCUGUGAACGUGCUCAUAGCGGAUCUUGAGUUUGUGUACAAGGGGUCGUAUCUUGGAGUCUUGUAGACCGUCAGUACCUGCACGUAGGGAGGCUACAAAGGCUUUAGGACAGCGUCUUUGACGUGCUUCACCGUACCAAACUCACCUUCUUACUUAUUAUUUAUUUUCCUUUUACUUACCUAUUAUUUUGUUUUCUUUUUAUUAUACCUUCAAAGCUUUCCAAUUUGUUUAUAUGUUAUUUAUAAUAUAAAUGUUUUGUAUUUGGCUUUACGGAAAGAGGAAAACUAUUAUUUUUUAUAACACUUCCAGCGUGAAGGGGAAGUCUAGACAGGAGAGGGCUCAGGCCCGCGUGACAGCGCCAGCGUGUAAGGACAAGCUCGGGCAAGGUGUGGGGCCCAUCAACUGGACAAACCCACAGGUAAAUUUAGCCUAUGUUUUUGUCUGAGUAAGUGGCAUAAUGCUGACAUCAGCAAAUUCAUGACUAGUUGUUGACUAGUCAUAAUUAUAUUUGGUUAAGUUUUAAAGUGUGUGAAUAUUACUAUAUAUCUGAAUAACAUUUAAAUUUAUCCCUUGUCAUCUGAGUACCAAUUUCAAAAAGGAACUCCUCCUCAAAAUAAAUAGGAUUCUCACAUUUGUCAAAUUCUUUUAGCUGUUUUUAACUUUUGAAUUCCUUUAAUUUUUUUCUUUUAAAAUUUAGUAAGUGUUAAAAUUCCAUUAAUUCUAGAGAAGAGUUCCUACUUAAUUUUUAAGGUGCCAAACCAUGAAUUAAGGAGCCAAACCAUGCUCCCCGUUAAUAUAUGCUUCUCGUUACUAGUGCCUCAGGUAUGCUUCUCGUUACUAGUGCCUCAGGUGGAUCAACAAACAAUUGGCUCUUCAAGAUCUCUGAUUUGAUAAUUGGAAGCAUUCAGAUCUUAGGUUAUUUGUGUAAGAAUUAUAUAUUCGCAGAAAAAAUUGGCUAAUUUGAGAUAUUUUUAGUUAAACUGUUAUCUACACUCCAAUAGAGAGAUAAAGAACAUAGCCCCAAAAAGGAUUCUUGCAAACAAUAGAAUAAGAUGCAAAACAAUAAACACAACCAUUGCAAACAUACAGUGAGCAAAGUCAAUUCUCAUAAAGAAAUUAGAUAUAAAAAAUUCUUAAAAUUCAACCUAUAUUAAUAUUUGAAAUUGUAAACAAGAUCUGUAAACGAGAUCACACUACUACAAAAAAGAAAAAAGACGAUGGUAAAUCACCGUCGUGUAUUCGGUUUUUCAAUGGUCGUGGAAUCCAUAUGACACAUAUUAAUAGAACAAGGCCGCAAGAUAGACAUACAACGACGAAAAUUAAAACAAGACGCCGUUAAAUAUCAUUUUCAUGACAAUAAAAAAUAUGACGUCUUUAAAUACAUUAGAAGACGACGUUAUUGAUACCUACUACGUCGUCUAUAUAAAAACAACCGUCGUAAAAUAAAUUUUCCACUUCGAUUUUUCUAUAAAAGAUGACGUGGAAAUAGUUGUCAGUAUCAUUAUUUACGACGUAUGUAUUUAUAGAGUAGAUGUUGAACAACGAAACAACGUCGGUUACAAAUAUAUGAGAGUCGUAUUACAAAAUUUAUACAUCCUAUUUUCAGAAACAAACAACGACGAUAAAUAUUAGACGUUGUUAAAUAAAACAACGUCGAAAACAAAUAAAAACAGACGUGUUUAGUCUACUAAAGUUCUAAAAAAUAGUCAAGGAUGAGAAUAGACGACCAACUCAAACAAAUCACCAUCGUUAAAAGGGAAAAAUAUAACACAUAUUAAAAGAACAAGGCCGCAAGAUAGACAUACAACGACGACAAUUAAAACACUACGCCGUUAAAUAUAAUUUUUACGACAAGAAAAAAUAUGACGUCUUUAUAUGCAUGAGAAGACGACGUUAUUGAAAUCUACUACGUCUCUUAUUUACAAACAACCGUCGUGAAAUAAAUUUUCCACUUCGAUUUUUCUAAAAAAGAUGACGUGGAAAUAGUUGUCAGUGUCAUUAUUUACGACGUAUGUAUUUAUAUAGUUGACGUUGAAAUGCGAAACAACGUCAGUGGCAUUUAUAUAGUCGACGUUGUAUUUAUAUGUAUUCAUUACUCACGACGCACUUAUUAAUAUAGACGACGUUGAACUUCUAAACAACGUCGGUUCCAAAUAAAUGAGAGCCGUAUUACAGAACAUAUAGACGGCGUUGAUUAUGAUGAGAGCCGUAUUACAAAUAACGUCGUUUAAUUGAUAUUAGACGGCGGUUAUAAUGAAUUACCGUCGGAAUUCAUUUCGUUCCUCUUCGUUUAUAAAAGAACUUGCGACGUGGAAAAUGUAUGAUGACGUCGUAUUUUUUAACGUUCAGAUUAUAUAUCUCGUUUUUUAGACGUCGGUAUUAUGGGAUUGGAGUCGUGUUAUUUUGAAUUACGUGGCGGUUCUUAAUCCUUCCCCGACGUGAUAUCCUGAAUAAUUGCUUCACAAUAGCGUCGUGGUUGAAAGGACCCGCCCCGAAUUUUCUCAAAACCCGAGACGAACCCUUUGGAAUUCCUGACAUCACCCCGAUGCCAGGCCCACUUACUAAAAACCGAGACUUCCUGCCGAAAUUUAUGCAGAGUCUCCCCUAUAAAUUGGACAUUUCCUAAAAUUUCAACCUGCAUAAAAACACAUUUAAUAUCCACAACUGGCAGCAUGCACAAUAUAAUUUCAUGCAAAUUCUCAUAAAUGGCCUUCGGCCUUCCAAAAAUUCUCAAACAACUACCAAACAAUUUAAAUACAAAUUAUGACAAAUAUUUAGUCUGCGGCUGCACCUAAUAACCUUAGGCUGCCUACGUACCCUCCUUGAGGGAUCAAGCCACACGUAGUUCUUCCCUAAAACCCCGUUCCCCACUUGGGCGAUACCUUAUUUCAUUUCUUUGUAUUUCAUAUAAUCUCCCCAUACGCCGGUACAACCAACGCCACGUAUGGGGCCUGUCAACACGCCGAAUAACCUACGCCACGUGCGACCAUGCCAUACUAUCGUUAUCUCUCCCCAUACGCCGGUACAACCAACGCCACGUAUGGGGUCUGUCUCAACGCCGGAUAACCUACGCCACGUGAGACCUGUACAUCAUAUCACAUAACUCCCCAUACGCCGGUACAACCAAUGCCACGUAUGGGCCUGUCCCAACGCCGGAUAACCUACGCCACGCGGGACCUCAACAUCAUAUCACAAAUCUCCCCAUACGCCGGUACAACCAACGCCACGUAUGGGUCCUGUCUCAACGCCGGAUAACCUACGCCACGUGAGACCUGAACAUCAUAUUACAUAGCUCCCCAUACGCCGGUACAACCAACGCCACGUAUGGGGCCUGUCCCAACGCCGGAUAACCUACGCCACGCAGGACCUAACUUUCACUUGGUGGUGCAUGUAGUGAAUCCAACAUCCGAGGAGGCACCUAAAGUAGUGCGUAUAUCACUCCAAACUGACAUUCUAAACUCUGUUGUACCCUUGUACAACCAUAUAUAAUUAUAAUUAUAUAAAUAAAUUCUAAUAUUGUGUAAUCCUCCACAAUGGUCUAGCACCCGAUAAUCCCCCCUUAAAAAGGUGAGAUUACUCUGGAAGACUCACGGUCAACCAAGGGUCAAACUACUUUAACCCUGGUCAACCGGACCUGCAGAACCCACGACCUCCAAUUUCCGAUCCGGAAGUCCCUAUGGGUUCUACUAGGUAUAGGACACUUGUCCUGCAAGUUUAGUUCAGAUCGGACGGUCGGAUUUCUCACGAUCGCACGAUCUGACAAUUAAUAUAAAAUACAACUUUAAAAUUAUUAUUCGGAACAUCCGGGGCUCUGAUUCACAAUCCGUGAAUUCCUACACGAUCCUAGAAAUACCUAGAUUAACAUAUAUUAAAUUUGGGACCAUCCGACGGUCCCAACCUAUCGAACCCGGAUAACGCAUAAUAUGCGAUUAUCCGUUCGAUAGUCAAACGACGUCCGAAUUGAGAUCCGCGAAAUCCUACGCACUCGUGACAAUCUAAGGAUUUCAUCGGAACACAUCGCUACUUUUCUACAGUGCCCACGCGCCGCCGCACGCGCCGGCAGCGCGUGGGUGCCCAAAGCGAUAACGCUUAGCCGAAAAAUCUCAAAACCACGGCUCCAAACUCUUACCCUAGGUAUAACACCCUAUUUGGAGCCACUUUUGUUCUUGGACCUACCCCAAAAAGUGGUCGAAAAUGGCCGAUCAUGGCGGCCGAAGUUCGGCCGAUUUUCAAUUUGAAAAUCGAGUUGUCUACGCUAAGAAUCGAUCUAAUCCUACCCAACCAUUAUCUAGAGCAGCUCGAGAGGUUCAAAAUCCAUACCUGGGUCGACGGAAUUGGUGGCCGGAGGAGGAAGAUCGACGGCGUUGAAACUCCGGCGACAUCCGGACGAAAAUCGCCAUUUUCCGGCGGCUGGAGCGGAGGCCGAUGGCGGGAAUGGGCUGGGUCGUGACGCCGAGGUCGAGCCGGUUCUUUUGACACCGGCCCCGUCCGCAGCCGCGGCCGGUGGCCGGAGUUACGAGGAGAGAGAGAGAGAGAGCCAACGGAGAGAGAGAGAGGUCGCGAGAGAGAGAGAGAGAGAGAGAGAGAGAGAGAAACCAGAUUUUAUAAAAAAUCCCAUUUUGAAAUAUUUACGAUUAUGCCACUGGGCUUCUUUUGACCAUAUCUCUCUCGUUACAACUUCGAUUCGAGCCCACUACGUGUCUGUGAACUCGUCUCAGUACGACCUAUCUAAAAAUAUAAGUCGCGGUCCCAAACUCUCUCCGGUUAAAAAUAUGACUAAAAUACCCUUAAAUAAUUAAAUAAGGGUUAAAUUUGGGGUCGGGGUGUUACAGUGGUUCUUCAUUGUUACGUUGCUUUAAGACGUCGGUAAAUAUGCUGAAUAACUGGUUCACAAUAACGUCGUGUUUUAUUUGAACGUAGAAAGUGAAGAAAUCACAUUAAAAUAUAUUACAAAAUUAAUGUCAUACACUGCCAAUUACAUAAGCAUCAUUCAAUCCAUAUAUCUUCACACCCAUCUCGAAUAUUUUGACCGCCUAACUCACCCACCAGUUCAUCAAAUGUGUCAACAUUUGGCAUCCCUCUAGUAAAUGGCUCACACUCAAUUAUCACAUCACCUAAGACUUCAUCACCAAUAACAUCAUUAUAUUCUCUAUUAGGCAUUGAUAACACUACCGACCAACCACGAUGCAUCGGGUCGUCAACAAAAAAUAUUUGUUUGACUUGAGAAGCCAAAACAAAUUGGUCAUUCCUAUGUCCAAUUUUACUCAAAUCUACAAGGGUAAAUCCAAGUUCGUCGACUACAAGACCAGAACUAUCUAUCCAAUCACACCUAAAGACUGGGAUUGUAAACUUUUGGUAGUCAAGGUCCCAAAUUUCUUGAAUGACACCAUAGAAACCCAUAUUUGAGAUAAUUGGGUUUUUAUCCUUGGCACUAGCAACUUGCAUGGUAUGUGCAAGUAAAUAAACUCCACUAUUUUGAGUUGUCCGCACAUCAUCUUGUGCCUUGAUAUUGAAUUUAAUACCUUUAAUAAGAUAUCUCCUAUAUAAUGGCACUGCCAUGUUUAGAACAGCUGCUAGCCACCUUAAAUUUUCUGAUACGCCAUGAUUGUCUUCCUCAAGUUCACUUUGAACCUGCAAAUUAAUCAUAUCUUAAUUCAAUCUAACAUAGAAAUAAGAAGAAAAUUAAAAGAGAAAUAUGUUAUUCAACAACAUAUACCUUGAAGCGUAGCCAUUGAAUGAAAGUGCUAUUGUGCUUAUCCUGCAGCCACUUUGUUCUCUUUCUAAAUUUUGGAUAAGCAGUCUUGAUGUGGAUCAUAUGUUGCCUACAUGACACGAAAAAUUCAAGCAUUACGGUCCCAAAUAUAGAAGAUAAACAUAAGAAAUAAUUUAAAAUGGAAACUUAAAGAAUAAAACUCAUACGUACUCGAUAUAAGGUAGGACUUCCUCUGUAUUCUCCAAGACAUAUAGAUGUGCUUGAUUCAACAGGUCCUGAUCAACUACUCUCACUGUGCAACCUGAUAAUGGCUUUGAAAGUCCCAUCUUUUGGCUUGAAGGCACUCCAACUGUACUAACAUCAGAUAAAUGCUGAGUGCAAAACUCUACCGCUUCUUCAGCUAUAUACCGCUCAGCAAUGCAACCUUCGGGACGAGUACGAUUCUGAACAUACCCCUUCAGCACUUUCAUAUAUCUUUCAAACGGAUACAUCCACCUAAAAUAUACUGGCCCACAUAGACGAACUUCUCUGACAAGAUGUACUACUAGAUGAACCAUGAUAUCAAAGAAUGAAGGGGGAAAGUACUUCUCAAGCAAACACAGAGUAACUACUACAUCUUCUUCCAACUUAUCUAGCUUGGAAACAUCAACAGUCUUUGCACAUAUAGCAUUGAAGAAGAAGCACAAACGAGUUAUUGCAUACCUUGCAGGCUUCUCCAAAACAGAACGAAUUGCCACAGGGAGCAAUUGUUGCAUUAAGGUAUGACAAUCAUGUGAUUUAAGGCCAAGAAGUCUUGAAUCUUGUAAAGGUACAAGAUUUUUAAUAUUUGAAGAAUAACCUUCAGGGACCUUCAUACCAUAGAAAGAAUUGCAAACCUCUCUCAUUUCUGCUCUUGACAAAUUCCAAGGCCCAGGAGGCAAACGAGUACGUCUUUCUCCAUACUCGGGUUGCAAAUCAGUUUUGACCCCCAUGUUCAAUAAAUCUAAUCGAGCAGCAAUCCCAUCUUUAUUUUUUCCAGGGAUCUCCAGCAAUGUACCAAUGAUACUAUCGCAAACAUUCUUCUCAAUGUGCAUAACAUCUAGGGCAUGCCUCACAAGAAGGUAUUUCCAAUACUCGAGAUCAAAGAAUAUUGAUUUCUUCUUCCAACAAACUCUGUCACCAUUUUCAACCAUAUGCAGCACUUCUUCUCCGGUUAAUGGCUCGGGAGGUAUGCCAUAUUCAGGUUUCCCAUUAAAAGCUGCAUGUUGCCUCCUAUAUGGAUGAUUGAUUGGUAACCAUUUUCUAUGCCCAAUGUAACAAAUUUUGUGGCCAUUUUUCAACCUGUGACUAGGUGUAUCAUCGCCGCAUAUUGGAGAAGCUUUAUAUCCUUUAACAAUACAACCAGAUAAGUUUCCAUAGGCGGGGAAAUCAUUAAUUGUCCACAUUAAUGCAGCUCUGAGUGUAAAGUAUUCUCCAUUAUGUGCAUCAUACAUUCCUCUAAUAAUUGAUCCCUUAUAAUUCCAACCCCAAACAACUUCAAAUUAACACAUUUAACACAUGGACAACGGAUAUGUGUUGUAGUUAGAAGAUUUUCUACAGCAAAGUUCAAAAAUGCUUCCACCCCAAACUCAUAUGCCUUCGAUCUUCUAUUCGAGUGCAUCCAUGACUUAUCCAUCUCCGACACUAUAACCUAUUAUCUAUAAUAAAGUGAAAAUACAGGCAAUAACCAUUACUAUAGCAGAUUAUACAAAGAUCUAAUAGCAAGUAAUACACAACAGAGACGACGGGUUUUAAACAAAAACAGACGUAUUUGGCAUAUAUAGACGACGGAUUUUCAACAGACGUCGUCUAAUAUAAGUAAUACAAACGACGGUUUAUGAAAAAACCGUCGUGUAUAAGUAAUACAACGACGGUUUUUUCAUAAACCGUCGUGUAAUCGUCGUCGUAUGCCUAAAAAGGCGUCGUGUCUCAGUUUAUUUUCAAGAACCCAAAACCCAUUAAGAACACAACAUAUAUAUGAAACCAAGCAAGAAACCAACAUAUACAUGAAACCAAGCAUGAAAACAAUAAAUCCAUUCCCAAUUCAACAUAACAUAGGGUGAUUAAAAGAUCCGACAAAAUUAAAUCCAUUCCUAAUUCAACAUAACAGAUAAUGUAAUCCAUGAACCCAUUAAACAGAAAAUCCAUGAACCCAUACCUAUAAGCACAUUAUUAACAGAUCGCAAAGCAUAUACCUAAAACCCUUUAACAAAACAACCUAAUAUCAUUUAAUGAAUUUACAAGGGGAAGAUAGGGUUUGUACUUACAGGUUGGACGAGCUCACAGAUUCGACGGAGCCUGGAGAGUGUAACUUUUAAUUAGAGCAGAAGUGAGAGAGCGAAAUGUUAUGUUGAGCGAAAUCUGAAAAUUUUAGGGUUCAGGGUUAGAAGUAUAAGAAUAAGAGCCAAAUCUAAAAAAUUUAGGGCGCGCGAAAAUUUUUAGAGAGCGCGCUCUUUAAAACGUCGAAAGAAAAACCAUGGCGAAAGUUCUACAAGAACCGACGUAAAUGUAAUAUUCCACGACGGAAACACUGAACGUAACGCCGUUUAUUUUGACGCUUCAUUUUUCGGAUUAAUUUUAAAUUUAUUUUGAAUAUUUUGAUAUAAAGACGACUGAAAAACCACGUCGGGGUUAAGAAAUUGAAAACGUUGUAAAUUAUAAUAGACGACUUACAUAUUAAAAUGACGUCUUUUAAAGUAUAAACCAUGUCGGAUAUUUUACUGCACGACGUAAUAUAUGUAUUCCACGACUCAACCACCGUCGCUAAAAAUUAAUACCCUAAACCCUUAAAACUAAAUUAUAUAAUUUUAAAAAUUAAGUUUAUAAAAGGGUUUAUAGUUUUACAGCCUAAUAUAUACCCUAGACUACCCAAAAAUUAUACUUUAAAAAUAAACCCCAAUAAAUAACAACCCUAAUCUCUAAACCCUAGACUCUAAACCCUAAACCAUAAAACUAGAAGUGAUUUUAUGACUCAUCAAAACAAUUUUGUUUUGGAUGGUCAUUUUAAAUUUUUGUUAUUCAAAAUGAAUUUUUUCAAGGUUUAGGGGGAAGAAAAUAUAUCAAUGACUUCAUAGGAGUUGACUUUGCAUUUUUCUGAUUUAUUUUAAAUUUAUUUUGAAUAUUUUGAUAUAAAAAUAAUAAAAUAUUCUUAUCACAACAACAAACCACGUCGGUGUUAAUAAAUUGUAGACGUUGUAAAUUGUAAUAGACGACUAAGUUGUUAAAAUGACGUCGUUUAAAUGAGAAACCAUGGCGGAUAUUUAACUAUCCGACGUAAAAUAUAUAUUCCACGACUUAAACGUUGUCGUUACAAAGUACUACCCUGAACCCUUAAGAAAUUGAAGACGUUGUAAACCAUAAACGACUCAAUUGUUCAAAGAACGUCGUCUAAAUAUCCUUUUACGUCGGAUUUGUUUAAAACGAAACAACAAAAAACAACGAUUUUUGACUUUAUUAGGUCGUUGGAAAAGUAUUACACGUCGGUUACGCAAUUUGUAUGUUUGUUUUUUUUUUUUAAUUUAAGAAAACCUCAACAAAUUUUUACAUUAUAUAUUAUAGACAAAAUUUGUACAUUAUACAUAAAUAUCAAGUGUUCAAUAAUUCCCCUAUUCCAGGUGAAGGCAAACAAACUCUGCCCAUUCAUUCCGGACUUCAUCAAUUGCUUCUUAGGGGUAUGGCGCUUCCUGUUUUCCCUUGGCAUACUGCAUAAACAAUGACUAUUAGGGUUUAUAAAUAAAAAGAAAUUCAAUCACAGACGACGAUAUUUUUCAUAACCGACGUAGUAUAUCUAUUCAACGACGGUAAUUUUACAUGACCGUUGUUGAUGAUACAAAAAACGACGUAAAAUGUAUGAAGGUAAUUUCUUCUUACCUUCUUCUCAAACGCCAAGGAAGGAUCCAUGAUGAUGUCCCUCAUGAAGCGCAUCACAUAAUACCCGCAUUCGACACUGCUGGGUUGCUUUGGUGUGCCUGACAGAGUUUUCCAAAUUACUGCCUUACGGCCUGAUCUGGCUAUGUGAGAAUUAUAAAUUUUUAUAGCACUGUUCACGAUGUUUUUGGCCUCUUCAUCGACCACACGAUUUCCUGGCAGAGGAUCCAGAAAAUAGACGGUUUUCCUUUUUGCUCUCACAAUCAGCAAGAUCCAAUGACGACUACACAAAAUUAAUAUAAAAACGACGGUUAUUUACGAAAACGACGUAUUAUAAUAUUUCACACGACGAAAUAAAGUAGCAAUCGACGACAUUAUAUAUUUAUCACGACGAUAAAUAACUACCGACGUGGUUAGUAGUUUGAAACGACUCAAUAAAAUAAAACACCGACGUGGUUAGUUUAUACGCUGUCAUUUAUUGAAAAUCAUAAAAACAAAAUCCUGUUAAGGAGACUAACCCUGGAUUGUAAGGCAUCAUGAAAAUCUGUUCACCGUCAGUCCUCUGAAGUCGAGCUGCUACCAGUCGUGAUCUGUCAGCUAUUGUGCCAGAGUUGGCACUAACUGUAGCAGGGUCGAUAAAGCCUACCAUGCUGCACAUAUUUGCUUGUUUCAAAACAUCGUGUAAGUACCUAAAUAUAUAAAAUAAUAUAAACAAGUCAGCACAAAAAAACACACGACGAUUAUGUAUAACAAAACGACGUAUUAUAAAAUUUCACACGACGUACUGAAAUAGACAACGACGUUAUAAUAUAUUUAUCACGACGGUACAUACUAAUGACGUGGUUAGUUAGUUAAGGCGACGCAAUAACGACGGUACAUACUAACGACGUAGUUAUUUUAGAAUGACAAACCUCAUAUAUACAGCAAUGACCGUAGCUCCUAUUUCUUCCAUGCCUGCAAAUUGUGUAAUAUCUUCAGGCAGGAGGAAGGUAUCGUGUUCUAGACCAAACACCUCCUUAUCAAUUGUAAAGUUCAGGGUCUUAUCCUGAGGCACGAGUGUCGUUUCCACAUAACGACAAAGGGAUUUUAAAGAAGAUGGCGCCUCCAUAUUUGAAUAAUCAACAACUUCAAAAACCUGUUUAAAGAAAUUAAAAAAAUGACGUGGUAAUUCAAUAAAAACGACGGUUUAAGGAAUAAAACGUCAUCUGAAAAGAAUUUAAACGACGGUGAAAAAAUCGUCGUGGUGAAUAAUUUAUUACGUCUUAGAAAAAAAUUCCGCCGUCUAAGUUGUAAACAAAUGACGGUUUAAAGAAAAAUAUCGACGUCUGAAAUUUUGAAAAACAAAUAAAAAAGGCAAAGUUAUGUGAACAUACCUGGUCGUCAUGCUUUUCUUCAUCUUCUUUCUCCUUUUCAUCUUGUUUUUCUUCUUUCUUCUCUUCAUCUAUUACGUCGGGAAUGACUAACCCCGUCGUCUAAAAAUCACAAAGUUUUAAAAAUAACGACGUUUAAUGGUGUGUAAAACAAAUAAACUAAAUACGACGUGGUAUUGAAAUACGACGUGAGAUCCCAGCACCUACCCCUCUCACUCUGCCUGGAUGCUCGGGGCACAAAGCCAUGGUCAGCACAUCAUUGCUGCCAGAUACAGUGACUUUGCCUUCCGAGACUUGUUUUUGCAAUUCAUCCUAAAACAAAGAUAUAUAAAAAAGUAAGAACAAAAAACACACGACGGUUAUUUAUAUACAAACGACGUAUUAUAUAAUUUCAGACGACGCAGUAACAAAUAAAUCGACGUUAUUAUAAUUUAUCACGACGGUAGUUAUACCGACGUGGUUAGUUUUUUAAAACGAUGAAAUGAAUAAACCACCGACGUCUUAUGCUUUAUUUAGAGAUAACAGAGGGAUGAUUCAAUAUUCACACCUUUAACGACCUUGUUUAAAACAUUUCGACGUAGUAAUUUAAUACAAACGACGCGAAAAUGAACCACCGACAUCUUAUGCUAUAAUUACAGAAAACAGAGUAGUGAUUCCUGAUUUAGACCUUUAACGACGUUUUUUAAAAAAUUUCGACGUGGUAAUAUCAUUCACACGACGCAAAAUAUAACAUAAGACGUGAUAAGAAUUAUUCACAGUUUAAUACAAAUUUAAAACAAAGUGAGUAGGCUUACAAUUAAUUUUGCUUUCUCUGCCACCUUUGGAUCCGGGAUGUUACCAUGUUUGUCCUGUCUAGCUCUCUUCCAUAAGGUAGAUCGAUCAAUUUCUACCCCAGGCAUGGUUUCCUCCAAUUGAUCCUCCAAACCAGCAUAUCCUUUUCGAGACAAUCGAUGAUUGUACUCAAGUUUCUCCCUAAUCUGUGCAUGUUGAGAAUGCACAGACUCAAAAUCUUUGGAUAACCUUGAAGCUACAAAGGCAUCCCAUUGUGCUUUCUCUAUGAAUUUAUAUGUUUCAGGGGGUUGGCUUAAUCUCUCCCUGUCAUUGGUGUAUGGAAGGAUAUAAUGCCUCGUUAGUGUAGACUUGAAAUCCUUCCAUUUCUUGGCAGCAGAAGCUAACACAGAGUUCUUGCCCCCUUGACCUACCACAAAAGCAAUGUCAACUGCUUCCCAAAUCUGCUCCUUUAUAUCCUUGGGGAUUUGAGCCCAUUUCAUGUCCACAAGUGGAACUCUGGAGCGUGCCAACACACCAAUGUAGGACUGCAUCUCACUAUGUGCUUGGCCAAUUCCUUUCCCCCUUUUAUUGUACUCAACAAUUGGCCUCAGUUUCUGAAGUUUUCUCUUCACAACACGAGGCAUUGUGCUCAUACCUCGACCAGACUUUGAAUCAUCAAAGAUUGUUGUCGUGCUGGUUGGUUCUGUCUCAGCAGAUGAUGAAGCAAACUUCAUCUUCUUCGAAGACUUCAUCUUCUUCGAAGACUUCUCUUGAGGAGUUACCAUUCCAAGCUCCUUACCUCCAUUUUUCUUGGAGCCAGAGUCCUUACUUUGGUCUUGAGAAACCAUUUUUACAGACAAAACUGCAAGUGAAAAUAUUUCAGGAAAAGAUUAAGAACACAAACGACGGUUAUUAAUAAAAUACGACGUAUGAUAUGAUUUUAAACGACGCAAUGAAAUAAUCUCAGACGUAAUAAAUGUUUAAAACCAAGGUAAUUAAACAACGACGAAAUAAUAUAAAAUAAGAUGGAAUAAUAACUUAUUACGUCGAUAUUUACCGGACGACGUGAUAAUUAACUAUAAACGACGAAAUAUUUAUAUAACGUCGUGGUAUUGAUGUUCACACGACGUCAAUAGUAAUAUACCGUCGUCUAUAUAAGGAUCCAAAACCCUUCUUUCUUUCUCUGUGAAUGUUUGAUUGUAGAUUUGAUUUUUCUGAACCAUGGUUUUUGUUUUCUAAUUUGAUAAAAUACAAGGCCAAGAAAGAAAGUUUUGGAAUCUUAUAUAGACUACGGUAUUUUAAUAUGACGUCAUGGUAUUAACAUUCACACGACGUAAAACAAUAAGAUACUGUCGUCUUUGUCUGUAUAUUUUAUCGAACUUGGAAAGAAGUAAAAUGAUUUUGGCCAGAAAAAAGGUAAAAAGAUUUUUCAAACAAAAAACGUAUGAGCAUGCAAAACAGCAACCAAAAUAGUGAAAAUGAAAGCUUACCUUUUGCGUGCAAUGAAAGCAAGAGGAAGACGAUGUUUAAGUUCAGAGACGACGAAGAAGACGAGAGGAAGACGAUGAGAUACUCUGACAGUGCUCUGACAAGGAAAAAAGUCUAAAAGUUUUCUCUGGGAGAUUGAAAUUUUUAAUCGGGUUUGGAAACAGCGCAUGUGUAAGUCAGGUAGACGAAAAGUUGCUUACAUAUAAAACCAUUUCAAAAAAAUAAUACGGCGGUUACAUAUAACUACGACGUAUAAAUUACAAAAUACGACGGUACAUUUAACUUCGGACGUGGUAAAUAAAUACGACAGUAGUGUUGUAGGUACCGUCGUAGUAAACUCAAAAAUUAAAGUACAUAAGUAAUAACUCGCGUCAUGGUAGAUUAUUUAACACGUCGUUUUUAUUAAUGUACCGACGUGGAUUUCUGUAUUAUACGUCGGUCAUACCGACGUUGAUUUUACAAUUUAAACGGCGGUUUUUUUGUAAGGACCGCCGUUGGUUUUAAAAAUUUAUUCUAUAAAUUUGUCGCUUUCGUUCAUUUUCGGUUUACAUUUAGGGUUCCAAGUUCUUCCUCUCUCAGAGACACUGUCUCUCACGUCUCAAAGACAAUAAUUUGGAUGUCUUUCUCAAAGAGAAAUUGAGCUUACUCGCAUCAAAUAUAUGUCCACAAGAAGAAGCUUGUCAACUAGCCUUCUCACUUCCUUGAUCAAGCCUGAUAGGACACUUAGUGCUUCUGAAUACUCCUUGCUUUCCAUCAAAAGAGAUGCAAGCCUGGCCUCCACUCGCCAUCGAAGGAAAGUUCGCUUCUCAGGGAAAUCUGAAGAUCAGAUGUGCCUGAUCCUCUGCUUGAUUUUCUUGGCUAAGAAGAUCCGUCAGAUUUGUGAUAGCCUCUUCCUUUAUCCGUAGAGCUUCAGAAGAAGAAGAUGAGUUUCAAGAAUGCGAUAAAGAAUAGAAAUGGGUUCAGAUGGCCUCUAAAGCAUGAGCAAUCGAAUCAUUAGUUGCUGGGAGAUAUGAUGAAGACAUUGUCAAUGCUUUGAACUAUACAAGUCCUGCAGAAAGAUAAAGGACCAAACUGUUAAAGAAACUGAAACAACGGCGGUUUUCUGUUCUACCGUCGUCUUUUCUCGUCGUCUAUAUUAAGGUAAGAUGGCGGUAGAUUUAUAAUUACCGACAUAGAUUAUUUUGUUAAACGUCGUUAAGUGUACUACAACCGACGUGGAUUUUAUUUUUAAAUUAUAAAUAGAGUUUUUUUUCCCGAAUUCUUUCAGUUUUAGUUUUCAAUUACAAAGCGUGAUAAAUAGAUUUUUCUUUCCCGAGGAAAUUUAAAAUGAGGAAAAUUACUGUUCUAGAAUUUGUAAACUAACACGACGCAAUAUUACUAACCCGAGGAAAUUAUAAAUAGAUUUUGCUUUCCUGAAGAAAUUUUAAAUUAAUUCAGUUUGAAACAACGACGGGUUUUUGUUAUGCCGUCGUUUUUAACUAACACGACCCAAUAUUUGUUUUGCGACGUGGAAUCUUUUCAUUUAACAUCGUUAGGUUUAAUAUAACCGACGUGGAUUUGAAUUUUUAAAUUAUGAAUAGAAUUUUUUUUCCCGUGACCUUUCAGUUUAUUUUUCAAUUACAGUGCGUUAUAAAUAGAGUUUUUUUUUUCCGGAAGAAAUUUAAAAGGAAGGAAAUUAAUGUUCUGGAAUAUGUAAAGUUUCUUUUUUGGAUGACAGAUUUAAAUAAAAUAAGAAUAUAAAAACAACGACUGUUUUUGUAUUACUGUCGUCGUUUUUCGUCGUCUUAAGUAAGACUAAGACGACGUAAUAUAUUUGUUGAGCGACGUUGAUUUAUUUUUUAAACGUCGUUAGGUAUAAUAUAACCAUCGUUGAAAAUUGUCUCUCUGAUUGCAAAUUUGCAACGACGUUAGGUAUAAUAUUUGUAGAUACACAAACGCACACACAUCAUCAACUUCCAAAAAAUUGUCUCUCUGAUUGCAAAUCUGUGUCAUUUCUUAAGAUUAUGAUGUGGAACAGAGUUCCAUCUGGUAAGAUUUCGUAACCCUUGGGAUCUCAGACAAAUCUGAUUAUGUCGGCGAUUUUCUAUAUAAACCGUCGUGGUUAUUUCAAUUCUUGUCAUUAAGUAGAUCUACCGACGUAGGAUAAGAAAAUCAAAGAAAAAAAUUGUUAACAAAAAUUCUUAUUAAGACGACGGUUUAAAUUAAAGGUACGACGUAUAAAAUGAAUAAAUACGACGUUAAAUUUUAUAGUACGAUUUAAAGAUAACGUCGUAGAACUAUACGAGAAUGACGUCGAUAUAUUUAUAUUUUCCGUCGUUGUACAUUAAUUUAAUACGGCGAUAUUUUGUAUUUUAAAGCCGUGGAUUUGUUUGUAAUUAUACGGCGUCUUAUACGAAAACCUCGUCGUGUUAUUUUAUGAGUAAAAACGGCGGUUUUGAUUGAAAUCGUCAUCUUUAUUGUCUACGUCGGUCGAUUCAUAACUUCUGUCGUUCUUUGUUGGCAUUGAUUUUACACUGCGGAAAUCUGUUUCAAAUAGACGUCGGUUGUUUAAUUAGGUACGUCGUUGUUUUUGAACAGCCAUUUGAAUCUCCAUUUUUUAGUUGUCUAAGGUUGUAUUACACGAUGGUGUUUUUAGAACCGUCGUCUUUUUAAAAACCACGACGGUUUUCACUUAGACCGUCGUUGUUUUCUGGUCGUCUUUUUCACUUUUUGUAGUAGUGUCAGUUAUCAAUACUAUCCUCUCACAAAAGAUUGUUUUUCAAACUAUUGAAUUGCUGGAACUGGAAUCCUUGAUUGGAACAAACCAAACCAAAUCCUCACCUGUAACUUGAUUCCCAAUCCUAAAUCAGCGAACUUUUCCAUUUAUUCUUUUAGAUAAGAUCCAUCCUAUCAUAUUGUGCUGAUAGUACCAAGAAAAGUUUACACAAAACACAACAAAAAUUGAGACCACAAAAUCAAACUCAAUUUCGUUUGCCAGUUCAUCCAUUGAUUUAGACCGAGAUGCAAAAUUUAAGUAGAGACUUGAUUGCCUGUUCAUCCAUUGAUUUAGACCGGGAUGCAAAAGUUAACUAGACUUCAAUGUGUUCCCAACGUCGAUGACAAAUCGGUAUUUGACAUCUGUUUUGACAAGGCGCUCCAUGGCAGUGUUCAAAUAAUCAAUUGGGAUAACCUCAACUUGGGCUGUUACGUUGUGCUUGGCUGCAAAAUCAAUCAUCUCUUGUGUCUCCUUCAUGCCUCCGAUAUUACUACCAGCUACCAUCUUUCUUCCUGUAACAUUUCCAAAGUAAGUGCUUGAAUAAACCAUCAUCCAAUGCAAAAGAAGUGUUAGUGUUUGAAUUCUUAGCUGGGUUUCUAUGGAAGAUUAGAGUAGAGAGGAAAAAAAACAGAGAGAAUAGAGGAAGAUUCAAGCUAUAUGUAUAUUGCUCUACUACUCUCAAAGUCUGAGAGUGAGUGUAUAUUCAGUGUCAAAAUUCACGCACAAAGGCAUGAGUACAUAACCGUUAGCUUUAGCUGUACACACACAAUCAACAAUACAAUCUCAGCCUUACACUUGUCAUGAUCUAGACUAAGUGAAUACACUUAUUUACUCUAACUUUACUUAGCUCACAGCUUAUACACUAAUACUCCCCUUUAAGCUUUGAGCUGAUACAACUCCAAGCUUAUCUCUGAGAUAGUUGAAUCUAUCUUUUGGUAAGGCCUUUGUAAAAAUGUCUGCUACUUGUUCUUUGGUUGGGCAGUAUACCAAAUCAACAAUUCCUUGCUGCAAGGCAUCCUUUAUGAAGUGAUAUCUUCUGUCAAUGUGUUUAGUCCUUUGGUGAAACACUGGAUUUUUAGAUAUUGAGAUUGCAGAUGUAUUGUCACACUGCAAAGGAGUUGCUUCAGCUUGUAACUCUCCAAAAUCUUCAAGAACAAACUUGAGCCAUAUUGCUUGAGUUGUUGCUUCAGCAGCACUUAUAUACUCAGCCUCUGCAGUGGAAAGUGCAACACAAUUCUAUUUCACAGAAGCCUAUGAGAACACUCCACUACCAAAGGAAAACGCAUAGCCUGAGGUACUCUUGCUGUCAUCUACUGAUCCCCCCCAGUCACUAUCACAAAAGCCAACUAAAACUGGCUUCUUGCCUUUCAUAUAAUGCAAAUCAUAGUCCAAUGUUCCUUUGACAUAUCUGAGCACUCUCUUAGCUACCCCAUAGUGCCUGUUAGAAGGUCCAUGCAUAUAUCUAGCUAAUAGGCUAGCUGCAUACAUCACAUCUGGCCUUGUAGCAGUAAGAUACAAUAAGCUGCCUACAAGUUUUCUGUACUUCUCUUCAUCUGCAGCACCACUUUCAUCUUCUUUACUUAACUUUUCAGUAGCCACAAGAGGAAUAGAAACAGAUUUGCAUUCUUUCAAUCCAAACUUAUCCAACAAAGCAGAAGCAUACUUCUUUUGAUGAAUGAAAAUGCUAGAUUCUGUUUGAAUCACCCCCAUUCCCAGAAAAUGAUGAAGAAGACCCAAGUCUGACAUCUCGUACUUCUCCUUCAUAUCUUCUUUGAACUCAUCUAGCAUCUCUUGAUCGUUUCCAGUAUGCACAAUGUCAUCCACAUAGAUGGAGACAAUUAGUAUAUCAUGUUCUCCCCUUGUUUUAGUGUAGAGAGUUGCUUCACUUAAGCUUUUCUCAAACCCACACUUAGCAAAAUAGCUAUCAAUCUCUCCAUACCAGGCCCUAGGUGCCUGUUUCAAGCCAUAAAGCGCCUUGUAUAAUUUGUAAACCUUAUCUUCCUUGCCAUUAAUCACAAACCCUUCAGGUUGAUCAACAUACACUUCUUCCUACAAUAUUCCAUUUAAGAAAGCAGACUUAACAUCUAAUUGAAAUAGCUUCCAGCUUCUUUGUGCAGCAAGAGCAAUCAAUGUUCUGAUUGUAUCCAGUCUAGCAACUAGAGCAAAUGUUUCAUUAUAAUCAAUGCCUGGUUUCUGCACAUACCCUUUAGCAACCAGCCUUGCCUUGUUCUUCUGUACAGAGCCAUCUAAGUUCAACUUGGUUUUGAACACCCAUUUCACACCAAUAACCUGCUUAUCACUUGGUCUGUCUACAAGCUCCCAAGUCUUAUUUUUUUUCAAUCAUGGACAACUCUUCUUCCAUUGCUUUUAUCCAAGCCUUAUCGUGUGCAGCCUCUUCAUAUUUUUCAGGUUCCACAAUGCAGAGAUUGCAUUGUGCUAGAAUGUCAUUUAUGUUUCUCCACUUUAAUGGAGUAUGAUCAUAGGGCUGAGAGAUAUCAGCAUGCUUAUGAAUGGCAUUCUCUUGUUCUUCAGCUUGAGAGAAAAUGCAAGGACUAGAAGGACUUCUCUCGACUUCAGUCAACUCAUGUGGAAUCACUUCAAUUCUAUUUUCAGGUUGCUUUGGAACAUAGGUCAUAGCAACAGAAUUUUCUGAAGUUUCCUUCCAGUUCCAGGACUUGGUUUCAUCAAAAACUACAUCCCUUGACAGAAUCAGCUUCUUAGUGCUUGGAUUAAAUACUCUGUACCCUUUCUCACAGGUUACAUAACCCACAAACACACCUUGGACAGAUUUUGCAUCAAGCUUUUGUCUUCUUUCAGCUGGUACAUGCACAUAACAGAGUGAUCCAAACACCUUUAAGUAACCAAUUCCUGGUUUUCUCCCACUAUAAGCUUCAAAAGGAGUCAUGUUAUCAAGGGCUUUUGUAGGUGAUCUGUUUAGAAUAUAGACAGCUGUAUGUACAGCUUCUACCCAGAGAAAGUAUGGCAUGCCUUUAUCAUGAAGCAUUGCCUUAGCCAUCUCUACAACUGUUCUAUUCUUUCUCUCCACUACUUCAUUUUGCUGUGGAGUAGAAGCAAUGGAUAACUGUCUUUGUAUGCCUUCAGAUUCCAACAACUUGCUGAAUUCAGUUGAGAGAAAUUCUCCCCCUCUGUCACUCCUUAGGCAUUUCACUUUGAAUCCACAUUGUAACUCCACCAUUGCCUUGAACUUUCUGAAACAGAUUAGUGCCUCAGACUUGUGUCUUAGGAAAUAAACCCAUGACAUUCUUGUGUGAUCAUCAAUAAGCAACAUGAAAUAUUUAUUCCCAGCAAUUGAUUCAUUUUGCAUGGGACCACACAAAUCUGUGUGUAUCAAUUCUAGGGGAUUCUUAGCUCUCCAAGCUUGUCCUUUUGGAAACCAAUCUCUGUGUUGUUUUCCCAUUUGACAUCUUCAAGAUGUGGAAGACCAUGCACCAUUUCCUUUUCUCUAAGCUGCUUGAGGCUUCUAAGAUUUAGGUGUCCUAGUCUCUUGUGCCAAAUCCAGGUACAUUCAAUCACACUAGCCUUCAAUGCAAUUUGAUCAGCUUGCAUUGGAGACAGAGGGUAGCAUCUGUUACUUUUCAUCUUAACCUUGAUAACUAGACAAUCAAGUGAAGGACCAUUAAAGAUACAACACUCUCUUCCACCAAAUAGCAAAUAAUAUCCAUGUUCAUCCAUCUGUCCCACACUCAACAAAUUUUCCUUCAAACCAGGUAGAAACAUGACUUCCUUGAUACACUUUCUGCCAGAAUUUGUAUCAAUCAUAAGUGAACCUAUUCCAGCAACAUCUACUAGAUUUCCAGUGGGCAUUUGUACUUUUCUAGUGACAUUUGUCCUUACAUCCACAAGAAGCUCAGCAUUUCCAGUCAUGUGGUUGCUACAACCACUAUCAAUGUACCAAUUCCCACUCACUUUGACCUCAGUAAUUGCACUGUUAGCAUAGAACAGAUUUCCUGUCACUUCUGCCUGAUUAGCACAGUUUGCCUUCUGAACAACCUUGCCUGUUGUGCAUUCUCUAGCCCAAUGUCCAAACCUAUCACAGUUGUGACAUUUGGAUUGCCCCUUGUAUCGACAUUCUCCAAAAUGAAACUUAGAGCACACCCUGCAUUGUGGCUUAACUGUAUCUUGUUUCAUGAAUCCUGCAGAGGUUGAAUUCUGUGCAGGAUUAGCAAAUGACUUUUGCUGGGACUGAGGCUUUGAAUCCCACUUCUUGCCCUUUCCAUUCCAGUUUUUCUUAGAUCCACUUGACUAAGAAUUACCCUUAUGUUGCUGACCUUUUGGACUCACAGAAAAAGAGCCAAAAGCCUUAUCAGUGGCAUCAACAGUGUGCAUAUCAAAUCGUUGUUCCUGGCUCUUAAGAAUUGCCAGAACCUCCUGUAAUUCAACCUUGUCUAUACACUUCGUAUUCUCAAUCACAAGACAGAUGGGAUCAUAAGGUUUGCUAAGACUUAUUAAAACCUUUUGCACAAGCCUUUCGUUAGGCAAUACCUCACCAAACGUCUUCAUUUGGUUAUUUAGUUCAUUCAACCAUGUAAGAUACUCAGAUAACGUUUCAUCAUCACGCAUCCUAGUAUACUCAAAUUCACGUCGAAGAUUUUGGAGUUUAACUGAUCGUACCUGAUCACCACCAUGAUAUUCACCAUAUAGCAGAUCCCAUGCCAUCUUUACUGUAUCAGCAUUGGCAAUUCGAGGGAAUAUUUGAUCCGAGACUGUAUUCUGGAUAAUACCCAGAGCUUUCGCAUCUCGCAUGUGUUCUGCCACAGUUUUCUCAUCGUCUUCCUCUUUUGCGCUUCCUUCAGCCAUCUUCUUCUUUGAAUCAGAGAUCGUAACCCCCUUUUCAACUAAUUUCCAUAACCCCUGAGAUUUAAAGAUUGUCACCAUCUUGAUUCUCCAGAACUCGUAGUUCUCACCGGAGAAGAUCGGAGUUCUCACCUCAGAACCUCCAGAUCCAGCCAUAUCUAGGCUUAGACGAUACGAAUCUCAAAAUCAAAAUAAAAAACGAUGGGGUUCAGCGAUUUCACCUGAACCAGAACGAGCUUGAGUGCAGCUCGAUUGCAGCAACGUCGCACAGUCUACGCCCAGAUUUCAGAUCGAACCUGGCUCUGAGGCCAUGUUAGUGUUUGAAUUCUUAGCUGGGUUUCUAUGGAAGAUUAGAGUAGAGAGGAAAAAAACAGAGAGAAUAGAGGAAGAUUCAAGCUAUAUGUAUAUUGCUCUACUACUCUCAAAGUCUGAGAGUGAGUAUAUAUUCAGUGUCAAAAUUCACGCACAAAGGCAUGAGUACAUAACCGUUAGCUUUAGCUGUACACACACAAUCAACAAUACAAUCUCAGCCUUACACUUGUCAUGAUCUAGACUAAGUGAAUACACAAUUUAAAACAAGGCUUAUUUACUCUAACUUUACUUAGCUCACAGCUUAUACACUAAUAAGAAGUGAGUUAUGUGAUAGGCUUACCCAUUAGCAAAGGAAAAACUGGAAGCUCAAGGGGUUUCUCUGGUGCACCAACCAUAACAAGCUUUCCAUUAGACUUCAACAAAGCAAUUAAAGGCAAGAGAGGGUGGACUGCUGAAACCGUAUCGAUAAUGCCAUCCAUUGUGCCCACGACUGCCUACCAAAUUAGCAGGACAAAAGAUUAAUUAGAUCAUAAUCUAGUUAAAUUCAUGAUCAAUGCUACUUGUUGAAGUAAUCACCUGCUUCUGAUCUUGAUCACGGCUGACCAAAAACGAAUCGGCACGAAGAUGUUCAAUAGCUUCCUUCUUCUUAUUAGGGGAGGUACUUAUUAUUAUAACCCUAACCCCCAUAGCCUUGGCAAACUUCACUGCCACAUGUCCAAGACCACCUAGACCAACCACACCCACAUGCAUACCGGGUUUGUCAAGACCAUAAUAUCUCAAUGCGCUGUAGGUUGUGAUUCCUGCGCAUAGAAGAGGGGCAGCACCAUCAAGAGGAAGAUUGUCCGAAACACGAAUUACGAAGUGCUCAUCGGCCACCAUGAAGUCAGAGUAACCUCCAUAUGUGAUGGUUCCGUCAUGGUACUUGGCACCGUAGGUGAGUAUAUACUUGGGGCAGUAAUUCUCAAUAUUGUUUGCACAAUUAUCACAAGAUUGGCAGGAUCCUACCACGCACCCAACUCCUACCUUGUCCCCAACUUUGAAUUUUUCUACUUUGCUCCCUACCUCUGUCACUACACCAACAAUCUCAUGCCUACAUUGCCCAAUUGAGUGUGCAUGCAUUUCAUUAGUUAAGUUAAUCAAGAACUUAAUUCAUAGCAUUAGUCCAAUUCAAGAACAAAUCAUCUCAGUCCCGGUGAAAGGACCCGCUCUGAAUUUUCUCAAAACCCGAGACGAACCCUUUGGAAUUCCUGACAUCACCCCGAUGCCAGGCCCACUUACUAAAAACCGAGACUUCCUGCCGAAAUUUCGGCAGAGUCUCCCCUAUAAAUUGGGCAUUUCCCAAAAUUUCAACCUGCAUAAAAACGCAUUCAAUAUCCACAACUGGCAGCAUGCACAAUAUAAUUUCAUGCAAUUCACACAAAUGGCCUUCGGCCUUCCAAUAAUUCUCCAACAACUACCAAACAAUUCAAAUACAAAAUAUGACUAAUAUUUAGUCUGCGGCUGCACCUAAUAACCUCAGGCUGCCUACGUACCCUCCUUGAGGGAUUAAGCCACACGUAGUUCUUCCCUAAAACCCAAUUCCACACUUGGGCGAUACCUUAUUUCAUUUCUCUGUAUUUCACAUAUUCUCCCCAUACGCCGGUACAACCAACGCCACGUAUGGGGCCUGUCAACACGCCGGAUAACCUACGCCACGUGCGACCAUGCCAUACUAUCAUAAUAUCUCCCCAUACGCCAGUACAACCAACGCCACGUAUGGGGCCUGUCCCAACGCCGGAUAACCUACGCCACGUGGGACCUCAAUAUCAUAUCACAAAUCUCCCCAUACGCCGGUACAACCAACGCCACGUAUGGGGUCUGUCGACACGCCGGAUAACCUGCGCCACGUGCGACCUCAACACAAUAUCACAUAAUCUCCCCGUACGCCGGUACAACCAACGCCACGUACGGGGCCUGUCUCAACGCCGGAUAACCUACACCACGUGAGACCUGAACAUCAUAUUACAAAUCUCCCCAUACGCUGGUACAACCAACGCCACGUAUGGGGCCUGUCCCAACGCCGGAUAACCUACGCCACGUGGGACCUAACUUUCACUUGGUGGUACUUGUAGAAAUUCCAAAAUUCGGGGAGAUACCUACAGUAGUGCGUAUAGCACUCCAAACUGACAUUCUAGACUCAGUUGUACCCUUGUACAACCAUACAUAAUUAUAAUCAUAAAAAUUAAUUCUAAUAUUGUGUAACCCUCCACAAUCAUCUAGUACUCGAUAAUCUCCCCUAGAAAGGUGAGAUUACCCCGGGAGACUCACAGUCAACCAAGAGUCAAACUUCUCUAACCCUGGUCAAACAGACCUGCGGAACCCACGACCUCCAAUUUCCGAUCCGAAGGUCCCUAUGGGUUCUACCAGGUAUAGGACACUUGUCCUGCAAGUUUGGUUCAGAUCGAACGGUCGGAUUGCUCACGAUCGCACGAUCUGACAAUUAAUAUAAAAUACAAACUUUAAAAUUAUUAUUCGGAACAUCCGGGGCUCCGAUUCACAAUCCGUGAAUUCCUAUCGAACCCGGAUAACGCAUAAUAUGCGAUUAUCCGUUCGAUAGUCAAACAACGUCCGAAUUGAGAUCCACGAAAUCCUACGCACUCGUGACAACCUAAGGAUCUUAUCGGAAUACAUCGCUACUUUUUCUACAGUGCCCACGCGCCGCCGCACGCGCCGGCAGCGCGUGGGUGCCCAAAGCGAUAACGCUUCACCGGAAAAUCUCAAAACCACGGCUCCAAACUCCUACCCUAGGUAUAACACCCUAUUUGGAGCCACUUUUGUUCUUGGACCUACCCCAAAAAGUGGCCGAAAAUGGCAGAUCACGGCGGCCGAAGUUUCGGCCGAUUUUCAAUUCGAAAAUCGAGUUGUCUACGCUAAGAAUCGAUCUAAUCCUACCCAACCAUCAGCUAGAGCAGCUUGAGCGGUUCAAAAUCCAUACCUGGGUCGACGGAAUUGGUGGCCGGAGGAGGGAGAUCAACGGCGUUGAAGUUCCGGCGACAUCCGGGCGAAAAUCGCCAUUUUCCGGCGGCUGGGGUCGUGACGCCGAGGUCGAGCCAAUUCUUUUGACACCGGCCUCGUCCGCAGCCGCGGCCGAUGGCUGGAGUUACGAAGAGAGAGAGAGGAGAGGCCGACGGGAGAGAGAGAGAGGAGUCGCGGGAGAGAGAGAGAGAGAGAGAGAGAGAGAGAGAAAUCUGAGUUUUUAUAAAAAAUCCCAUUUCGAAAUAUUUACGAUUGUGCCACUGGGUUUCUUUUGACCAUAUCUCUCUCGUUACAACUCCGAUUCGAGCCCACUACGUGUCUAUGAACUCGUCUCAGUACGACCUAUCCAAAAAUAUAAGUCACGGUCCCAAACUCUCUCCGGUUAAAAAUAUGACUAAAAUACCCUUAAAUAAUUAAAUAAUUAAAUGAGGGUAAAAUUUGGGAAAAUUUGGGGUCGGGGUGUUACACCCGGCAGCUGCCAGUAUGUCAUUCUAUCACAACCAAACAUUCCCUGUCCCACCCGAGAGUGGCCAUGGGCCUCGCUUGGUUGUGUGGGUGGCCGAUGCCGGACCAAAAGAAUUUCUCUAAGUAUAACAUUGUUAAAAUUGAUAGAAAAUGAAUGUAAUUUUUUGUUAAAAGUUUGUAUAUGUUUAGUAUAAUGGAUGGUAUAUGACUACAUACCCGGGAACCAGAGGAUGGGUGGAAAAACCCCAGUCAUUCUUAACCAUGUGAAGAUCAGUAUGGCAUAUACCACAGUAUAACACUUUGAAUGCCACAUCUUUCUCUCCUGUUUCUCUACAACCAAAUCAGUUCAAUUUUAGACAACAAAUCUAAAACUGAGAUCCUGGAAAGCAAGAACUACCAACUAAAUCAUAAAAAAAGAAAACAAGAAACCAGAAACUUGUGUACUUAAUCAUAAAAAAAAAAAAAAGCAGACAAAUCCAAGAUGAAGUGAAAAUGUAAAUCAAAGAAACAAUAAUCGGAUCUAGUAGCAGAGUUAAUAAUAUAUGUACCUUCUUGAAAAAUUAAAGGGAGAGAGAACACCAGAUGAGUCUCUAGCAGUCCAUCCAAAUGCCUUCUUGGGGUGUUCAUGCUCUUGAGAUUUCACCAUUUUUUCUUUUCAAACUUCAAACACAAAUCGACUGAUAGCAGAGUGAGAGUUUGUGAAAGUAGCAAUUUACAAGUGGCACUAUGAGACUUCAUGCAUGUAUAUGUAAAGAUGAUGUGGCAACAGGUUUGGUGCUGAGCUGACGCAUCGGGUGAGCAAAGGGCAGAGAGGGAAUCUUUCUUUGCUGACCAGAAAAUUUUCUUGCAAAAGUACACGGUAGUCUUCGCAGUGCCUCUAAAAUCUCUCGUAUUCUUUAUAAAAAGCUUGACUCCUUCAAAAUGAGGUGCUCGUUCUAAAAAUAAAUGGAAUUUUGCCAUUUAUUAAUUUCUUUUUCUAAAAUAAAUGCUGCUCUUUUCAUUUCUAUUUUAUUUUCCCACCUACUGUAUUUCUUAACUACUAUAUCAAUUUGAAACAACACAAUUCUAUAUUUUCACCUAUCAUUAUUUCUAAAAUAUGCUUUAAUUAGAUUCACUAUUAUACCCAAUAUAGGAGCCCAAAUUAUUAAAAAAAACCCUAUAUGAAAUAAAUUUUAUAACACACCCAAAACUCAUUUACAAUAAACAAAAAGGCUUUUAACUUCUUUUAAAUUAUAAAACUACCAUUGAUUUCUUAAAACAAACUCAACUCCAAAACUUCAUAAAAAGCCCAACACUCAAUGGGACAUCAAAGUAAUUUAAUAAUCAAAAUUAAAUUCAAUUGGGCCACCUAUCAUUUUUUGGGUUUGUUUAUAGAAAUUAAAUGGUGUAGGGUUUAUCUAUAAUAUUAGUGUUAAGAAUGGGUAUAUGACUAAAUAUCUCUUAUUUUUUAAACCUUUAAUUAUUAAUUCAAGCAUUUUCUAUUUCCUAAAAUAAUUUUAUUUGAUAAAAGUUCAGUAGUGGAAGUGAAGGUGGUGGUGAAAGAGAUGAAGGUGAAGGUGGCAGUGAUAGUGGAAGUGGUUGUGGGUGGUGAUGAAGCUAGAGGGGGUGGUUGUGGUAGUGAUGGUGGUGGAGAUGGUGGUUAUAGAGGUGAAGGUGGUAGCGGUGGCGGCGUGGUGGUGUAGGUGGAGGUGGAGGUGGAGGUGGUGGAGGAGGAGGAGCAUGUGGUGGUGGCGUUUGGUGGUAGUGGUAGUGGAGGUGGUGAAGUUGCAUGUGGAGGUGGAGGUAGUGUCACUUAAAAACAAUUAUGAUGGUAUUUUGGGAAUUAAAAUAAUUCAUUAAAGACUUAUCUCUGCUUCUUUUGAAAGCUGCUGUCAAAAGGCCACUACUUAAAAAAUAAUCGAGAUAUUUUAUUUUUACCAAACACCUUAAAUUGCUUCACUUUAAAGUGAAGCAGAUUUUUGGCAAUUAAAAGCAAUCCUAAACGAGGCCUUACACUUUCUUCUUUUUUUCUUUUUUUCUUUUUGUCAAAUGGUAAAAUAGGUGGGUUACGCGAGUUUAGGUUUUUGGAUUAAGUCCUUAGAAGUCAUUUUACAAAGGAAUAAAUUUGUCUUUAAAUUUUUUAAGAUUAGAUGGGUGAGGAAAUAUGACAGGUAAGUGGAAAUGGCAACACUCUUCUAAAAUUCUUAUAACUUUUUUUUUUUUUGUUUUAGAAUUUCGUAAGUGUCAAAAUCUUAUUUGCUUUGAGGAGAGUCAAACUUUACUCUUAAUUUUCUCUUGAC
RNAcentral lists this long non-coding RNA (83912 nucleotides) under Prunus persica (peach). RNAcentral describes it as "long non-coding RNA (PPER_LNC006527)". The stretch from base 30925 to 31032 matches the Rfam family "MIR6297 microRNA precursor family". Lineage: Eukaryota; Viridiplantae; Streptophyta; Magnoliopsida; Rosales; Rosaceae. The record is from RNAcentral.